This 45701-nucleotide long non-coding RNA is filed under the name Olea europaea (common olive). Its description in RNAcentral is "long non-coding RNA (OEUR_LNC007037)". Lineage: Eukaryota; Viridiplantae; Streptophyta; Magnoliopsida; Lamiales; Oleaceae. The record is from RNAcentral.
GAAUUUGGAAGGCUUUAGUGUGGCGCAUAACAAUUUAGCAGGUAUGAUGCCAGAGAAAUUUCAGUUUUGGACUUUCGAUGAAGGUAGUUAUCAGGGAAAUCCAUAUCUUUGCGGCCAUCCAUUACCUGAUGACUGUACUAGCACCUGAUCAACACCUGCAGUGCCCCAUGAUGAAAGUGAGGAGUGCGGUUUCAUGGACAUGGAGUUCUUCUACAUAAGCUUCAUCAUAUCUUAUUUAUCUGUAGUGAUUUGCAUUGCUACAGUUCUAUCCAUAAAUCCUCACUAGAGAAAAGCAUCGUUUCAUUUCAUUGAGGCUUGUAUAAUACAUUUUUGAGGCCGUGUGUUCUGGAAAAAUCAAGAUCUAUCUGCUUUAAUUCGGUAUGAAGAUCAUUACGUACUAUACUAACUUUUAUAACUAAAAUAUGUUUACAGUCUAUCUAAUCAAUUUUGUCAUUUUUCGUUCUAGAUUUGAUAAUUCGGAAGUAACAAAGCAGUGAAGCCAAAUAUAACAGCAUGGCAGGAAGCCAUGAUGGCCAUGUGUAUGCAUAUUCAAUCAUGAAAGUAUGAAAUGAUUAUAUGUACUUGUAUUAAUAAAUGGGAAUCUGAUUUGUUUCCCAGUUAAAUUUUUUUUGUUUGAGAAAAACAUUGAGGAGCAAACAUUAGUUUAACAAAAAGAUUUAAAUUAGAUCUCUUUAUUUAUAUUUUUUCCUCCAUAUAUAGAAUUCGUGCAUUACUUUUGGGUCACACUUAGUCAAAGAGAGAGUGUGCAACCUAAUGAUCAUUUUGUUAUUCUUGCUAUGAAAAAUAAUUGUAUCUCCGAGGGAUCCUUUUUGAACUCUUUUCUUUGUUGCAAACUUUCUUCAAAGCAUUGGAUUAAUGACUUUUCUAAAGGUUUUAUCUUUGCCUGGGUGUGGACUCAAUGGCUCCCUUCCCAACGAGGCAAAAUUUUCACCUUCCAAUCUCUGCAGGUUUUAUUUACAAAUCCGUGAGGACCAUGGUGUGUAUAUAUAUUACACACAUAUAGGUUUCUCUCUAUGUUUGUGGGUGUUUUUCUUAGUUUUUUUCUAUCUUCAGAUUUGAAUUUCACUAUUUCUCUCCUAUUUCUAUUGAACUUUUUCUUUAUUGUUUUACAAAGAAAUAAAAAUAGUGUGAUGAGUGCUAAGUGAUCAUGUUUUCCAUUUUUUAUUUUCAUCCAGAAGCAAGUGUAUAUAUAUCUCUCUCAAAGGAGCUAGUUGCAUUUAGAUUUGUUAAAAUACAGUAAGAAAAUAAUCGACCCCAAUUUUCCUUAUCUUCGUUUUGUUGGUUAGUGUUUAAUUUAGCAGGGUGUUGUCAACUUAAUAAACUUGAGGAGCUGGAUUUGAGUGGAAAUGUGUAUGUAGAAUCACUUCCAUCUUGUCCAGAAAAAAUGAAAUCUCUUCGAUUGAUUGUGGCCUCAAGGAAUAAGUUCUACGGAGAUAUUGCUGUAUUUCAAAAGAAUCAGAACUCACCUCACGUGAAUAUCUUUCCAUUUCAAGUGACAACUUUCACGUGCCCAUUUCCUUUGAGGCUUUAUAUAAUCAUUUUAGUCUUGGUUUCAUAUUUGCCAAAGAAAAUAAAGUAAUAGCGAGUACUGAAUUAUGAAAUUGGGUUCCUAACUUCCAAGAAGAGGUUUUCAGUUUGUCAAAUUGCCAUCCAACUCUACUUCACUUUUUUCACUAUUAGACUGAAUCUCACGUGACUUUGGAGAAACUCAAGUUGCAAGCAAGCACCAAUCUCAAUAUGGAGACUAUUGAUAUUUCUAGUAAUAAAUUUAUUGGACAUAUUCCAACAAAUAUACGUUUGGUUUUUCCAAAUUUAUUUAUUAAACAUAUCCAAAUAUGUGCUAAAUGUUUGUGUACCAUCUAGUAACGUUGACUUGAAAUAAUUAGUAUCAAACUUCAUUCUUUUGGCCCCUCUUAGAUUUAUCAAGAGUACAAUUCAUCACACCCAAUCCCAUCUUGCUUCAAUACAUCAAGCAUAAGUCAUGUCUAUCUUAACAAUAACCAAUUGGAAGGUGAGAUUACACAUGCAUUAUUGAACAAUUCUUUUCUCACUACAAAAAAAUAUGGACUCGACCAAAUAAAAUUGAUUGCUAUAAAACACUUUCACCGACCAAAUAUUUGGUUGGCAAAGUUUUUGGGCAGUUAAGAAUGAAAUAAAUUUCCUAUGCCCUGUUGCAACCGAAAUUUGCUUGUUGAUUUCAUGUAUUAGUUUUGUCGCUAAUAAUUAGGGAAGGAUUUUAAUCCCGGGUUUUUUUACGUGUUAAUUAAUGAGUAUUUCAAUGACCAAAUUGAACUUGGUCAGUUGAUCUAUAACCGUUAGCGACAACUUUGUUGUCGUUGAUUGCCUAGGGGGAUAAACCUCGCCUGUUUUAGUUUGUGGUUGGUGGGUUUCAACGACCACAUCGAAAUUGGUAGUAAUUACCCUUUUGUUGUUACUAUUGUAUGUUAUUGUUAAUUUCUUAUUUAGUUAUUUUCUCUUGUGCAUUCUUUGUUAUAUUGAUUAAUUGAAAAACUAUUAAUGAGGUAUAGCAAAUAACCCGUUGUUACUCAAAGUCUAUCUAAACUAUUACUUCAAAUAUUAGUAGAGACCAAAUACUGGUUGUUCGGUGUCUUUUACUAAAUUAAUAUGUAGCAACCAGAUUUUAGCUGGAAAAUGCUUUCUAUGACCAUAUUUUGGUUGCUGAAUGAUAAAAAAUAAAAUAAUAUAGAAUAAAAAAAUUGUUUAGCAAUUAUUGACCAUCAAUUGAUUGGUGACCGGUAUCAUUUUUUUAUCAACUAUCCUUCGAAUACCAAUAUUUAGCUGUUAUCGGUAUAUCUUCAACGACCAAAUAUUGGUUGUUGAAAUAUGGUAAUUUUUAUUCACUAAUGCUUUGACCAACCAACAUUUGGUUUCAAAAGGAUGAAAAUUAACCAACUUUUUACACCAAACCAAGCCUGUUACUGGCCAUUGUUUUGGUCAUUGAAUAUUUACAAUUUGUUAAGAUCCAGAACAUUCUAAUUCCAACUUCAACUUUUAAAGUUACGGAGUUUACGUUCCAGAUUACUGAUUAGUUCAACCUUAUGUGUGGAAUUGACUAAUUAAAGCAAACACGUCACUUUUAAUUAGUUUCUAAAUGAUUCAGCAUACAAGUCCAUUUUUCCCUAGGUUUGAAUAAAGCAAUUGUACUAAUUUGUUGGAAAGUAAACAAUACCAAAUUUGAUAACGGAGAAACUAACGUGGUAAAAACUCCGGGAUCAAGCCAAUAACCUCCACUAUAGACCGUUCAGGGAAUACACAGCAAUUCCUCAACUUGUACUCACUAAGAGCCGCUGUCACAGUCUCACGAUCUAUUGACAUAGACACCUCUAGCCUACUAGACCUCGUGAUCUACCUCCUGUAACCUUCUGCUAGACUUCCUGAUCUACCUCCUAUAGUCUAAUCUUCUGUCUCCAACAGCUUCUUGGUCUUACACUGAAAGUCUUUCCAAUUGGAAUACCAAGAACCUCCUGUUCUUGUUCUUAUAACUGCGCUUCAAUCCACCUCUUUCAAUCCCCCAAUGAGAGAGUCCCUUUCUAAACAAAUUAAGGAAGCUAGAUGUUUUGUAUUUACGGCCCUAAUGUUUUCCCAAUUCUAGGUUGCUGAAUCACAAGAUGAAUAUCAUUGAAUCCUCCAAUGAAUUAUGUUUUUUGGAUCACAGAGAUGAUAUUAAUGUGUUAUGAAUAUGAAGAACAAUGAGCAACCUCUCUCCAAUUCUGUCCAUGACUUCUUAUAUUUAUACCUGGGGACAAAUAGGUGUCAUGAGCAGUUUAAAACUCUUCAAAUCAUGACCUAGGGUUUGACAAUGUGUCACUGUCGCUCCAACAACACUCUAGCGAAAAGCGAGUAACAGCUUUUUCGCUCCCGCUUUUCGCUCGAGCGACGCCCGGGCGAAAAACAAGAGACAAUGGUUCUACUUCAUCCACUCGAGAAACACCUUGGCAAGUAGCUAGCAAAAAUCUGACGUGUCUUCUACCUUGUUCCAAACUCAAUCCUAGCCUAAACCAUUUAUACAAAUUGCAACCCAAGUCCCUAACUUUUACAACAUGUUCAAUUAAGCCCCUUUUGUUCACAGAAUUGCCAUUUACAUAUAAAAACCUAACACACUCCCCCUUUAGCCUUCUGUGACAAAAAUAUACAAAUAAAGUGAAGACUAGAAAAUAGAAAACUAUUCUACCCAGUAUACCCAAUUACUGAGUCUUGCAUUCCUUGUUGUACCUGUUUCCUGAAACCUAAAAAACUCACAUACCCAGUGUGUAUAUAUAUAUAUAUAUAUAUAUUAAAGCACUUAACCACAAAUCAACAUUGUUGUUUGAGACGCGACAUUGAUGUCAAUCGAAACACUAACAUUACUAAACAUCAAAACUCGAACAGCAAUGGAUGUGACAUGGAAUGCAAUGCAACGCUCCCCCUUACUGCAAACACUUAUGAAUUUUAUGCAGUAAUACAAUGUAUCUAUGUCUCUUUCCAAUGACCCCUAGACAUAGCAAUUAUGCUAAAUGCAAAAUGUUAAUGAAUCAAUGAAAUCAGUGCACAUGCAGCAAGUUGCAAGAUAGUUCUAUGCUCUUAUGUUCUACCCCUUAGUUACACAUUUCUCUUCCCCUUUUUUGUCACAAAUGUUGAAGGGAAUACUAUCAAAUUCAAACAGAGCAAUAACAUAUAACAACUUAAAAAUGGAGUUGAUAGCAUGCACAAGUAAAAUCAAUAGACCAUAAACAUUCCCACAUACUUAGUUCAGAUCAAAAUAGAGUAAAUAGUACAAGUGACUCAUGUGUGUAGAGUGUCACUAAUCCAAUUCAAGCAGGACUCCAAACCUUAAUUUUACGAGAAAGGACAUGUUAAUCAUUGCCAAUAAGUAUCUUUCCAUGCUAAUUAAAGUCAAACAAUGAAAAUGCAGUAGGACCUAUACUUAUUAUUUUUAUUUUUCUCCCCCUUACUUUGAGCAUUUAUAUUUUUCAAUUUUCCAUAUUUUUCAGAUCUUCACAUUUUUCAAGCUUAUUUAUUUUUCAUCUUAAGUGCAGAUUCUUCUCCAUUAGGCAACUAAGAUGACCCUAUUAAUAUGUGACAACCACCCAAAUCUCCCACAUGCAGUAGACUCCCCCUAACAAAUUUAUAGUGUGCAAUACAUAUGGUACAUAAAGACACCUAUAUUAAGUAAUCCAAAGUGAUUUAAACAAGUAAUGAAAAUUAUUCUACAGCUUAUCAAUUUCAACUCAUACAUGAUCACAACAUGCAUGUUCAAGAAACAUAUAUCUUGAUGUAGAAGUGUUCCAUAACCAACUAUUUUUGUGUUUUUCAAUUUUUCAAUUUUUUGUGUUUUUUAUUUUUCAAAAAAUGAAUGCUCACACACAAAAGAAAAAAUAAAAUCAAGCACACAAUAAAAACUCAAAUAUGCAUGGGCCAAAGCAAACCAAUGCAAAAUGCACAUCCAUGAAACCAAAAAUAAGGCCAAAGAAAAAUGAACACAUAUAAGCGGUGCAUGCACAAAUACUAUGAUAGUUAAGAACUUGAAUGCAUAAAAAAGUAUCUAAUCAUCUAGGCAUAAGAGUUCUCUUUCCUUUAAGAACACCGUGAUCUACUAACAAAUUUGGCUGAUCACUCUUCUUCACCCAUACCUGCUUGGUGGGGGGAACAGUUUCCAGACAAUUUUGUCACAUAUUUGGUCAAAUGAUUCACUUGAUUAGUAAGGUAUCCAAUCCAACCAACAGACACCUGAUUAUUGUUCUUUUUCAUGUUCAUGUUUUUCCUUUGUUUAGGUACUAAUGACAUCUAGGGUUGAAAUGACAUAACUCACCACAAUGAAAUCAUGUCGAGAUAAAUCUAGGACCUGUGUUACGUAAAUGCUAAUGUCUAUUCCUAGGUUGAUAGGUCCUACGCUAUCUAGUAGACCUCUAUCCUACUGAUCCCUUAUUCUUAGGUUCGGGGUUAGGCACAUGGUUAGGCUAGUCUUUGGUAGGGACAAAAGAGGUCUUGGACGUGCCAACAACAUCAUGAUAUUUUCCUUUGUAUCCUAGACUUCCCUUAUUUCCCAUCAUCUUGCCCAUUCCAAGAAUGUCAUCUUACUUAGACGACCUACUGAAGAAGGCAAGUAGUUGAGAAUUUGAGUGCUCUAAAUCCCUCACUGGGUUUAUAACCUGGAUUUGUAAAGUCUUGUUGAUGGCAAUCAACUCGCUAGCUUUCCUAGAGAACCUCUUCAGCUCACUGGCGAGAUUCUUAACAUGAGACUUUAAAGCUUCAUUUAUCGACUUACGCUCACUCAGGACAAUGGAAGAUUCCUUACCGUAGGCUUCUAACUUAGCUUUCUCCAAUUACAGCCCUGAAUAGUUGUACUUAAGGCUUUGAUUUUACUAAGAAUUUUCAGGUUAGCCUGAUAUAUUUUUUCAUAGGCCUCUUCUAUAUCUUCCUCACUUUACAGACUCAUCUCCAAAAUCCUCACCACUAUCUAAGUCCUCAUCUCUCUCACUCCUCUACUUGGAUCCACUACUAACCCUAGCAACGAAGGCAACAUAUUUUCCACUUUUCUCACAGAGUAGAUUUCUCACUUUGAUUGUCAAGCUAGACUCAUCAUUAGUGAGAGUAGUAUUCAUAGCAUUCUCUUCGACUCUCCUAGCAUUCAGGCACUCUUUCUUAACAUGACCUAUACCUUAGCAGUUAUGACACCUCAUAGAUUUAGAUCUUCGCCUAGAUUCACUCAGGCCACCUCGCGAUUUCGAUUGUAUCUUCUUCUUAUUCCUGAGCAUCUGACGAAAUUUGUUAGCUAAGUAGGCCAUCUCCUCAUCAUUGGGUAUAUUUGAGUCAAAAGAUUGUGCCCAAUUAUUCUUGGCAGAUUUCAAGGCCAAAGAUUUUUCCUUAACAGCUUCAUCUAUGGUCUGCUUAUAGGUCUGAAGGGAUCCAACUAAUUCUUCUACCCCGAUAGUAUCUCUAUCUUUACUUUGCUCAAUCACCAUGACUUUAGGCAUGAAAUGCUCGGGUAAGGAUCUAAGAAUUUUUCUGACUAUCUUAGGCUCGAGGAUUUUCUCUCCUAUGUUGAAGCUAGAAUUUACUAUGUUGUUUAGGCUCGCAUAGAAGAUGUCAAAAGUCUCAUCAUCUCUCAUCCUAAUCUCUUCAAAUCUAGUAGUCAACAUUAGCAAUUUGGAGUUCUUAACCACCUAUGUUUCCUCAUUUAUGGUUUCUAAAAUAUUCCAAACUUCUUUCACUAAUUGACACAUGGACACUCUCCUAAACUCCUCAAGAUCCAGAAUUUUUUAAUACCAACUUCAACUUUUAAAGUUACCUAGUUUACAUUCUAAAUUACUGAUUAGUUUGACCUUAUGUGCAAAAUUGACUAAUAGAGCAAACAUGUGACUUUUAAUUAGUUUCUAGAUGAUUAAGCAUACAAGUUCAUUUUUCCCUAAGUUUGACUAAAGCAAUUGUAAUAAUUUGCUGGAAAGUAAACAACACCAAAUUUGUUUAUAAUGCUAUUUCAUUUUAAAAUUGCAUCGAUUAAAUUUUUGUAGUGCUGUUAUUCAAAUAUUAUACCUGAAGUCACUUGGCUGAAUCCCUUGAUUUCAAAGCCCCAUUUACCUAAUUAGGUUUUGACUAGUAUUUGAUCCGUGCUUUGUUAUUUUAUGGAGAUCAGCAGUAUUAGCUUGCCAUGUUUGAAUUUACUUAAUCCCAAAAUUUAUAAAACAAAAGGAGAGAGAUUUUUAAAAAAAAAUGCUCAAGUCAUUAUUUUCCAUUGCUUGCACUUAUUAUUCAUUGAUCUCAUCAUUACAUGCCAUUUUGUUUGUAUUACAUUGCAUACAGUUGCAUAGGAUUGUCUUGUCGCCUCUAUUUUCGAAACAUUAACCAUGAACCCAUCCAAAUUUGAUGCACUCACUAGAUAAGUAGCUCAACUUGCUACUAGCCAACAACACUUACAAACUCAAUUAGCAGCUGUCCAAAUCGAGAUAAAUACUACUUGUGAAAAGAACAAAGAUCUAGUUGCUAGUCUAAACAAUUUUAACCAAAUCCCUCAUUUGACUAAUGUUAAUAAUUCUAAAGCGUCCCACAAUAGACAAUACCAUCAUCGACAAGUUGAUCAAAAAUAUUUUCAACACAAUCAUAGAGAUAGGGAUCAGCUUCAUGGGUGAGAACAAGGCAAUGGUCGUCAUGGUACUCAUUUGCUUCCUUGUCGUAAGGAGCAUUUCUUUAUAAACAUUAAAUUAGAUACUCCUACUUUCGACUGUUGCUUAGAUCAUGAAAUUUUUACCCAAUGGAACACCCUUACAUAAGGGAAUCGCUAGUAACUGAGUACAUUGCUCAGUUUGAGGAAUUUCAAAUGUAAUGUCAUGUUGUUGAGGAUGAGGCCUUGAUUUUGAGUAGGUUUAGACAUGGCCUAAGAGAAGAUCUAAAGCAUGAGCUCUUCCUUUAGGGUAUCACUAUCUCGAUCAUGCUUACUUGUUAGCUUGGGACUAGGAAGGUCGAAUGGUUGAACCACCACGGGGAGUUGAUGACGACAUCCACCUAUAUUUGUUUUAUUUUAUCUGGACUCUUAUUUAUUUGGUUUAUUUUAGUUGGGCUAUUAUUUAUGUUAGUCGACUUAUAUGAUGGGCUUGGCCAUUUCGCUUUAGGGUUUUGUUUUGUUAUUUAAGUCUAGUUUGUCAUGUAAUUGUGACAAAUGAUUACUAUGAAUUGAGAUUGGUUUUGGCAUCUCCUACCUCUCCCUUCCCCUUUUCUCUUGAAUUUCAAACACUAGUAAAAUUAAUGAACCGUGAAUAAAGUUUUUCAUUGACUUUGUUUAGAACUUAUUAGGAGUAUUUGGUGUAGGUCAUUCCAUAUAUAAUGUGCACUGCACACAUUGCACAAUUGUAAGUACAUUGGACUGCAUGCAUGAGAUUUGGGAUGGUGGUUUUUGGUGAGCUAACUUUGAAUAUGUAAUAACAUUUAAUUGGAUGACCUAAACUCUAGUAUAUUCCCCAUUAAAGGAAAAAUUGCAAUGAGCUUCAAAAUAAUUGAAUUUCAUAAAAAAAUAUGAUACAUCUAUACUUUUGUUCGUAGCCAUUACAACUUGAGUAAUUAAGUUCGAUGGGUAUCUUAAAAGCUGAAGCCAUAUGGUCAUCCGCCUUGUGAUUCAUUGGCCUAAAACUCAUUACAGGGCUAUUAAGGAUGCUUAAUGAAGAGAAAUUUGUACAUAAAAUAUGAAUAUAUAUAUAUAUAUAUAUAUAUGUGUGUGUGUGUGUGUGUGUGUGUGUGUGUGUGUGUGUGUUUACGCGUGCUUACACAAAGGAGGUAAAAAUUUAUACUUUAAAAAAUUAAUAUGAGCUUUUCAUUUAAAAGGUUCUAGCAGUGUUUGCAUUCAUAUUUUAAGGAAAGCAUUCGUUUUCUAGUGAUUCUAUGCAUGUCCUUUCUCAUUGAUUUAAGAUUUUGAGAUUUGCUUAUAAAAGUUUAGUGGCACGUUACCCAUGAAUAUUUUAUACUAUCUACUUCUUUAAAAUAAGUUAUGUAGGAAAAGUAACUAUUCAUGAUGUUAUAUUUAAAAGUUCAUGAAAAACAAUUGUCCCGAAAGAAAGAAAAAAAUUUACUCCCCAAUUAUAUGUUUUGCUUAAUUUUGCAUAACUGUACACAUGUAUAUUUGUCUUUAGUCAUUCAUGUUUAUAUUAUUAUUUUUAAUUUGUCGUUUCUGACAAAACAGGUGAGAGAUUAAUAUUUCAGAGAGAUGAGUUUAUGAGUUAGGGAGAGGAAUUUUUGAAAUUUAAUUUGAUAUUUGAGCUAGGGGGAGGCAUAGUAAUUCCUUCAUUGAUUGAUAAUCUGACUAGCAUGAUUGAAUAUUUUGACUUAUUGAUAUUAUGUUAUGUAUUUUGUGCAGUAUCAAUAUCAUUAUAGUGUGUUGCUAGAUCAGCUAUAUAUGUCAACUUGUCAUGUUUGGAUUCUAAGUUUUUUGAUGCUUGUAAUAGUACAUAUGUUGGUGGUAUGCACGGUUUACUGAAGUUCUUUAUCUGACUUAGUUAUAUACAUAUUAUAAAUUCCCUCUUGCUUUUUACGUUUUAUUGUUUUUUUUCAUGUGUUUCAAAAAAUGACCAAUAAGAUUUGAGUUGAAAUUUUAGAAUUGAGUAUUUGGGUAGAUUGUCGCUAUGCUGUUUUGAUUUUCAUUUUGAAAUAAAUUAUUUUGUCACGGAAUGUCAAUAUGAGAGAUUAUUAUUUCAAAUUUUAUAAUUGGCAAUUGCUAAGUUUGUAAUUGACAAUAUUCAUAUUAAAAAAUCACGAGUUAUUGAGUUGUAAUUAAAAUCAUAAUAGUUGUUUGUUUCAUGGAUAGUUUUUGGAGAAGUCAGACAUGUCAAAUAUAGACAAAAGAGAAAAUGUCAAUGCAAAAUAGGUUGUUGGCCUCAAGAAGAGUGCUCAUACCUAGGAUCUCACCGCUUGUUUGGCUCUCGAAAGGUUCGAUCAAAAUUUGCUUUUCUAGAAUACCAGAGGCAAGCAUGGAAUUACAAAAGAAGUUCUUUCAACAAGUAUGUGAAUUAUGAAGGAUUUGUCGAUGAAAUAUGAACCGAAGAUUGAAAGUUCAUAGAUGGAAUCCCUUGAGAAAAGUAAGAACGGCAGUUCGUGCUCCUUGGGAGGUCCCAAAUAAAUGCAUUCAUUUAUUAAGCAUGAGGUCAGCGCUCAACGGAAGGUGCGACAUCAAGGUGUUCAAUUCGUAAUUUAAAGUUGUUUUUCAAUCCUAUUCAACCUCUGACACUAUCCAUUAUAAAUAUAUAUGCCUUACUUCGUCCCAUGGUGUGAUUAAAUAUUAUUUUCAUUAUAUAGAUCCUUAUUUGAAGAUCAAUUACACAUUCCAAAGAUCUUUUAAUCAACCCCAAGAUCAUUGAUUCAUAUAUUCAUCUCAAAUAUGUUUUUAUUGGUUGAGCCUUAAUUUUUGUUAAGAGAACAUCCAUCGAAGAUCAAAUUCAAAUCCAUACAUCUCUUGCCUCAGCUACUUAUUAAAACACAAAAAAUCCUAUCUCACCUAUAAGUGUUCCGAGUUCUGAAGUUUAGAGUUGCUACACUUCAGAAUGAGUUCAUUCUUGGUGAUCCAGUGGAGAGAAAGGUAGUCCAAAGUUUUCAGAAGUGCAGGUUGCACAAUCAAAGAUGUUCUUUAGUGAUUUACUAGUUAGGUGGUUAGAGUCAACUAAGGUUUAGUAGUAUUUGAACCAAUAGUAGGUUAACUGUUCUAGUGGAUCUAUUUGACAAGGUUUGCCUUGAUGUUUUUGAUCCUUGUGAAAAGUCUUCAAGGGGUUUUCCUCUAUCAUCAAUUUACUUUUUAAUGCUUUAAUCUAGAUGAUUAUGAGAUUGUUUAAUUAGGAUUUAAUUAGAUUAAUAACCUUAAUCAUCUAGAACCAAUAAAUAGUAAGUUGUUAGUUUUUAUUCUUGAUUGUUUUCAUUCCGUAUAUUUCGAUCUAAAUAUUUUCAACAGUGUAUAGAUGGAACAAUGAAGUAUUGGACAAAUGUCGCAAAGAAUAAACAUCAACAAACUUUGAAAAUUUGAACUACUAAUAAAUUUCAACACAAUGAUGAGGGAAUGUUAACUUAUAAAAAUGGACUAAAAGCUCCUAAAACUCUCGUAAUAAAGUCAUUGCACAAAGGGAGAAAGGUUGAAAAACAUGUAGCCAAACUUAUAAUUUUAAAAACGAAUCUGCCUCAGAUUGAAACAGUAUCUUGGGUCGGACCUAUCGAAAAUUAGGACAUAAUCUUCGAUCGAGAAGCAUUUUCUGACAAAAUAAUGCUAAAUGAGGAAAAAACUGCAGUUGGUUUUCAAAAAAUAAUUUACCAAUUAAUUAAUUUAAGAAGCGUUAGAUAAAUUAAUUAAUUGAGUUGCUUAUUAAUAGGUCUGAACUAAUUAAUUCGAUUAAUUAAUUCAUGGACCAGAUUUAAUUAAUUAAAUAUUAGAUCGGGUUAAGUUUAAGUGACGAGCAAAGCCCAUUUGGGCUUAUAUAAAUAAGCUGCCAGGAUUCGAAAGUUGUAGAGAAUUUUAUUCCUCACACAAGAAAAGUAAACCCCAGUUCUCUCUCAAUCUUGUUCUCUGUGUGAAUUUUCAUGGAAGGCUGGACAAUUGGACAGAUGCAGGUGGCAGAUCAAGAUUGGCGAAACGAAAGAAACGCAAAGGAUUUUGUAAAAUUAAAGAAAGGUAUAAUUCUCUAUCACAAUUUCUAUCUAAAUACAAAGGAGAUCCUUGGUGGGAAUUCAAAUUUGUUAUAUUUUCGGUUGUGCAUGAUUAAGUAAGCUCCAACGAUGGUAUCAGAGCCUACUCUAUGUUUGUUAGAAAUUGUUUUGCAUAAUUGAACAAUCAAAAGUUAAUUGCUCAUAUUUUUCUUGGAUCUAGCACUUAGAAAUCUGUUUUGAAUAGAAAAUAAUUUUUUGGUCGAAAUUAAAAAAAAAUUGUGGGAGGAGGCAACAGCCGCCACCGUCGGAGUCGGAAGCUGCUGGCGAUCGUGCUGAAGCACAUCAGUAGCAAAGUUCAAUGUCGCUAUAAGAGAAUGCAGCAGUGUCGCUACAUUCAGCACUGCUGCUAUUUAUUUUAGCAGUGUCGCGCACUGAUACAAUGAUAGGAAAAUACUGCUGCCAAACAGCGUUGACUUUCGGUCGCAAAAGACAAACAGCUGAAAAUCAAAAGAAGAAGUGCCGGGAAUGAAGAUGAACGAAAAGGGUGAAUUUCCUAGGGUUUUCAUUCGGAGGAGAAGAAUAGAGGCAUGGUAUGAUUUGCAGUUUGUGACAUUGCAAGCCCUAGCCUACAAUUAUUUAAAAGGGGGUCAUUUUGCAAUUUUAAAAUAAGGGCUUCUAUCCAAUUUUGAUAUUUCGAGGGCCCUGCUAUUAAUUUAAAUCUUGGGUCAAAUUGCAAUUUUCAAAAAUUGUUUUGAGUUUGAAUUUUAAAAUGGUUUUAAAUUUGAUUUUCGAAAGGGUUUGACCUAAAAUUUCAAUUUUGACCCGUUUGAAGUUAAAUUUAAAUUUGAUCACUUUUAUAUUGUCGUUAAUAUUAGAUUUUAACUUAAAUAUUGUAUUUGACCCUAAAUUGAAUUUUAUUUUUUUUAUUUGGGAAUUUUAUCAUAUAUUAAAGAUAUCAAUUCAAUUUUAAAUUAGAGUUGGACUCUAAUUUAGUAUUUAAUUAAAAUUUGAUUUUAAUUAAUUAUUUACCCCGAAUAUAUUCUUGAAACUAGAACUGGAGUCUAAUUUGAUAUUUAAUUAAAAUUUUGUUUUAAUUAAAUUGUCUCACCCUAAAAUUAUUUUUGAAAUUAGAGUUGGACUCUAAUUUUAAUAUUUAAUUAAAAUUGAAUUUUAAUUAAAUUCAACCGCCAUAAGUCUUGAAAUUAGAGUUAGAUUCUAAUUUGAUAUUUAAUUAAAAUUUUAUUUUAAUUAAAUAGUCCCGCCCCAUAAAUGUGGAAUUAGAAUUGGACUCUAAUUCGGUAUUUUAUUAAAAUUUGAUUUUAAUUAAAUAUGCCCACUAAUUAAAUUAAUUGAUUAAUAUUAAUUUUUUAAUUGUUCCGAUCCAUUGUCUAAAAUAGUUUAGAAGAUCUUAAUUGCUAGAACUUGAAACAUGUUUGUAUAUAAUAUUAGAUACUAAAUAUGAAUGCAUUUAUGUGAUGAAUUUGUAUUAGUAGAUGCUUAUGGACUCGACCAUGUGCAUUUGUUGAUUGGUUAAUUUUAUUCUUGCCAUUUUAUGGGCCUACAAACUCUUAUUUAUUUUGGACGUGUGAGUCCAUUAUUAUUGUUACUAUUAUUGGCCUACGAGCUCCUAAUCAUUUAGAUUUGGGAGUCCGUUAUUGUUAUUGUUACUAUGGGCCUACGAGUCCAAUUUCAUUUAGGCCUGCAUGCCAACUAGUAUAGGAUAUAUCUUGUAGCUGGACUAAUUGAAGACACAAGAAAAAGAGGAAAACCAAAGAGAUGGUGCAUUGAUGCUAAUUCAAUGCAAUUUCCCUGAAGACUAGAUAGUAAAAGUCCACAAUUGUCCGCACUAUUAUAAUGUGUGUAUAAUUAUAUGAUUGUUACGAUGAAACUUUGUAGGAAAACUCUCACUGAAAUAUUAAGUCACAUUUUUAUUUGCCUUCCAUCAUUAUAGUAAAAAACCAAAGUCUCAAAUCGUCUCAACUUGUUGAGCACACUCAAGACUGGUCUAUUAGAAAUAUGUUUGACAUUAUGAAAUAUUAGAUAUUUCUCAAUAAUGGCUUCGACUUAACUAAAGUUUAUCUUUUGUUGAGUACAAUCAAGGAGAGAAAUUUUGAAGACAUGUUAAGCUAACACAUAAAAUGUGUGAAGACAAGGAAUCGUCAAUAGGGAUGGCAACGGUUCGGUUCGGGGUCGGUUCGUCCAAAACCAUCACCGAACCAUCAAUUUUUUGGUCAUACCAUAACCGCACCAUAACCACGAAAGUCGGUUCGGUUCGGUUCGGUUUCGGUUCAUAUCUCGGUUCGACUCGGUUCGGGUCAUUAAUAACCACGAAAAUAAAUUAUUUUUAAUUGGUCCAUCCGUCGAAUUAAAAUGAAAACAAAAACAUGAUACUAAGUUAAUGUAGCGAACAACAAUACAUCCCAAAUGAAAAUGCAAAAAAUAUCCCAAUUCCACAAAAUCCAAAUUUAACAAACAAUAUUCAAUAACUCAAAAAACUUCAACCUCAAUUCAUAUUCAAUCUUCAUUCUUCUCCACAACUCUUACUGGCAUCCGUCAAAACUCAAAGUUGAUUCCUAUUUAGUAUAUAAGAAAUGUAAGUAGAGUAAUAAAUCAAUAAUCCAUAAUGUUUUUAACUAAAUAUUUAAACAAAAAAAUAUACCUCUUCGUCAACAUCCUCAUCAUCAAACUUUGCACAAGCUCCGAAAUAUGAUGAAGGACCAGAAUUUUCUACACACAAAAGAGGAAAAAAUUAGCAAUAAAAGAAAGUGCAUAAAUAACAAACAUAAAACAAUACAUCCUACCAUGAAUAUCAGACCAAAGCCAAUCUCGAGCACACAUUAAAGCUUCUAAAGUCUUCGGGUGAAGCCUAUUUCUAUGUGGGCUCACAAAUCUACCACUUGUACUAAAUGCUGACUCGGAUGCAACAGUAGAUACUGGAAUGGCUAAUAAAUCUCUUGCAACCUUCUGUAAAGUCGGAUAUUUUAUUGAAUUUGCUUUCCACCAUGUCAAUAGAUCAAAACCGUCCACCUAGGCAAUACUGGCUCAUCUAGAAAAAUAUCGAACUCUGUUUUUACAUGAUCAGCAGUAACAGAAAGACUAACAAAUGUAUCAAAACCAGCCAUGCGAGAAUGUUUUCCACUAGUAGUAGACGACUCUGAUUGUGAAGAUGAUGGAAACAAAGAUGUAUUUUCUGUCGAACGAUGUAGUCUCUUGUACUCUUUGAGCAACUUAUGACCAAAUGCUCUAACCUUUUCAACCUCUUCCUGAGCUUCAUCUCCAAAAAUCAAAGGAAAAUAGUAUUCGACUAGUUUCAUCUAGUAUCUAGGAUCCAAUAUAGUUGCAACAGCUAGAAUUUCAUGCAUGCCACUCCAAUAUUUAUCAAACUUUUCCUUCAUGCUUGACGCCAUCCAUUUGACUUCAUCGCAAGAUGAUGUGCUCCAAUCACGGAUUGCCAACUUUAUGUCACAAAUAUUGGGAAAGUACAAAUUGGCAGUAGGAUAUUUUGUUCCUGAAAAUAAUUCAGUCGCUUCAUAAAAUAUCUCCAACUUAUCACAAAUCUCUGUAGCCAAUUCCCAAUCACUCUCACUCGGUACACUUCUGUAAUGAGGCUCUCUUUGCCUUAGUCGAGGAAAAAGUUCUUUGUAAAGCAAAGCAGUAUGAAUCAUUAGAUACGUAGAGUUCCAUCGAGUCUUGCAAUCUAAUAAUAACUUUUUUCCACAAGGGAUUUUCAUUUGUCGUGCAACUGCCUCAAAAGUUUCAACACUUUUCGGUGUUGCUGACCAAUAUGAAACACUAUCGCGAAUUCUCUCAACACUCGGGCUAAUGACAUCCAAACACCGCAAGUGGAAAAAUUCACCAUUCAACAAUAAAGAACCAAGAGAAAGCUUAUCUAACAUAAUGUUAAUCAUAGCGUCAUUCGUGGUGCAAUUAUCAACAGUCAAUGUAGACAAUUUCUAAUCAAUAUUUCAAUCAAAUAGACAAUCCAUUAACACAGUAGACAGUGACUUAGCAGUGUGGGGACAAGGGACAUAUAUAAAUCUGUAUGGAUAUGAAAAAAAGUUCGUAAGAUAAAUUAAAAUUUCAGAAAAUACGAUAGUAGCUUAAAGUCUAUUUUAUAAAACUAUUGUACCUCAAAAUUCGGCUUUGAAGCCUCCAAGAAUCAUCUAUGUAAUGUGCAAUGAUAGCCAUAAAUCCCUUCUUUUGAUUGGAUGUCCACAUAUCAGUGGUGACUGCUAUUCUACUAUUGGUCCUCUCUAACAAGCCCAUUACUUUUGUUAUCUCAUAAUCAUAAAUUUUCAAGAUAUCAGCCUUGAUGGUAUUACGAGAAACAACUUUAAAUAAUGGUUGAAUUGUAUUACAAAACUUUCUAAACCCAGUAUGCUCAACCAUUGAAAGAGGAUAUUCGUGUAGGAUGAUCAUAUUUGCAAGUUCCGUCCUACCUUUCUCUUGAUCAAAAUUAAAUGCUCCCAUUGCAAUCCUACCACUAGGUUCUUUAAAUUGAUUCAAAAACAUCUGUUUGACAUCCUUCUGACCUCGAAGAGGACAUCUAUUUAAAUGAGCAUGUAAAUGACUUGUCCCAUUUUUCGACUCACCCCCUAACUGUUUGUUGCAUUGUCUGCAAAUUGCUUUGGACACAUUAUUAAUUCUCUAUAGCUUAAAAUGCUGCCACACUGAAGAGGUCAAUUUUCUUUUUCUAUUUUUCUCAGUCAUCUCCUCAUCAUCACCUAAAUCUAUAUGAAUAGGAUUUGCAUUUACCUCACUUGGACUUUGUGAAGUAACUGGUGUACUUGUUGAUGUAUCUCCAACUUGAAUUGAAGUAGAAGCACUUCCAAUUGAAGCAGGGGGAGUAGGAACGGAAGAUUCUGACCCCUGGCAAGACAUCUAAUUUCAAAAAAAAAAAAUCAACAAACUCAAAAACUUAGGCAUUCAUUAAUUUCAUUAGGUGAAAAAUUUACAAAAGUGGAAUGCUAAACGAUAGAGAAAUAACUUAUAUAUCAAUAUAAAUCAGAAAGCUCAAUAAUUAUAUUAAAACUAUAUGUGAGGAGUCUAUUUUAUUUUAGUUCAAAAACAACUUUUUGUCCUCUAGACUUUCAACUUAUAUUUAAAGCAGUAAAUAGAAUUCGGAUAAAAAAAAAUAAACAAUAGAUAAUGACUAACACAAGAUAAUGACAAAAAUUAAAAGUUCUAAUACAUAUUUAUAGACUAACAUAAUUGAAAUAUAUACAUAGAUAACUAGUCUAAAUUAAUUUGGAACCAGCCAUGUCAUGUCAUCAAUUUCUGUUAUGGAUUAACAGAGUUAUUAAAUCUAAAAUGAAAGAAUAUGUUCCAAUGGAGAUAUGAACUAGUUUGCAUGAAGUGGCAAAUGGGGUUUUUCUACCAGGAAAUUUAAGAGCAGUAGUUGUAUUUUCUUUUGUUUGCUUAUUCUUUUGAAAUUAAUUGUUUUUUUUCCCUUCCUUAAAUGUGAAGAUUUGUUUGUUAUCCAAAUUUUUUACAAACCUAUAUCUUUCUUUGUAUACUGGUUGCAUAUGAUCUUCUAAUGAGAGGAUUUAUUUGUGCUUUCAAAUAGUCAUUUACCUCAUUUUAUAAAAAAUAGUCAUUUAUAAAAAUAUAAAAAUAGUCAUUUAUCUCAGAUCUUUAAGCUAAUGAAUUAUCGAAAAAAGAGAAUACACACGAUAAGUUCUGAUAAAAUCAUUCUUGGACUGUUAUGGAUUAAAAGAUUUUCAUUUGACGGUGAGAUCUAUAAGAAAACAGUGGUAAGAAAUCCAUGUGGCUGCAAAUUAUAUAGUUAAUAGAGUUUUUCUUUUCUCUUCAAAUCAUUUUUUCUUUUUAGUGAUCUAGCAUGAGGAAAAUUUUAUCUUUCUGCAUUUGUCUCUCUCGUAAAGUUCUACUUUAUGUUCUGCCAUUUACCCUGUUAAAAGAGCUUACACCAUACCCAGAUACAAGCAUAACAAGAAAAUAUAAUGUUCCAAUCUAUUUUUUUCUAUGCUUUUGAGUCUCUUGCUAUGUCAAUUUCAAUUUUUCUAAUCCAAAUUUCAGAAUCUGUGGAAGAUGUCUUACUCAUCUGAAGACGAAACAGACAUAAGUGAAUCUGAGUUAGACGAUUAUGUGGAUAGAUGCUACGAACAAUUGAAGAAUGCCCCUAAAAAGGUUCAGUAUUCAGACGAAUUAUUCAGGUGCCCUUACUGCCCAGGAAAGAAGAAGCUGGUCUAUCCUUUUAAGGACCUUUUUCAACAUGCCUCUGAUGUUGGCAGUCGCUCAAUGAAUAGAGAAAUCAAAGAUAAGGGGAAGCAUUUAGGACUUGUGAGGUACUUGAAAAAGGAUAUUGGUGGGGAAGAUAUAACGUUAGAAUUUGCUGGAUUAGCUAUUGAGCUGCCCAGAGACAGUGCUGUAAAUGAUUUGUGUGUAUGGCCUUGGAUGGGAAUUCUGGCCAAUGUUGAUGUCGAGUGCAGGGAUAGGGUUUAUCUAGAUGUAAGUAGUUCGAGGCUUAGGAAUGAUCUGGCUUCGAAAGGGUUUAAUCCAGUACGGGUUCGAUGACUGAGGGAAAACAAUCAGUGUAGAUAUGCGAUAGUGGAAUUUAAGAAAGAUUGGUCUGGAUUCUAUAAUGCGAAGAUUCCCUUCCCAUGAAAAGCUAGAAAUGUGGACUCUGGUUCACUUCGAAUUAUCAAUAAUUCAAUAUCUGCAUAUAUUAGAGAUUCUCUCUUGCAAAAUGUGCUAUUCUAUACAAUUAUAUAUUUGGCUUUUCAUAAAGUUCAUUGAACAAUUUUAUAGUUGAAAAUUUGUGGUGUGUUUACAUGGAUUGAUUACUAAAACUUGGAUCCGUUUUAUCAACAGUCAAAAAUUCUCUUCCUUUUUGUUCUUCUACUCAUUAGCCUAUCUAUUCAAUCUUGAAAAUAAUUUUGUUUCUUGUAGUUUAAGCCCUGUUUGAACUUUACGACUCAAUGGAAGGGACAACAAAUUGGGGUCUUGUUGCUUGCAAAACAUUGGAUACAUUAAAGCAAGCAACAGGUUAACCCAUAACCAACCAACAAAUGCUACUCCAAUGAUAUCUAUCCUUCAAAUAGAACUUUAGCAAGCUCGAUCUCAAAUGAAUGAACUUCAGUAAGUACAAAUUGAGAAAUGAAAGUUGGUUUUUCAUAUUCUAGUGCAACGGAGAAUGUUGUUGGUAUGAUAACAGUAGUCACAGGAGAAUUGAUACUUUAUAGCCAAUGUUUCUUUGAUGGUGCUACCUAUAAAGCUGCUGAAAGACAUCCAACCGAAUUGCAUCCCAGUCAACAUUAUCAAUAAUUCUUUCAUGUCCUCAAUUUAUAUUAACUACUUAGAAAACAAAGCCUAACUUCUUUCAAUCAUUUCAUCAAACACUUUUUUUGCAAAACCCAUUUUCCCCAAUGUCCCAUAAUACUAAUGCAGUGAAUUAAAUCCAUACUUCAACAUGGGCGUGCACUUCAGUUCCUUCAAAUACAGAAAAACUCAAAUACAGCGAAAGCAGAAGAAGAUGAUUCGGUAUUUCAUUUACCUCAAAUAGUGGUAGGACUGUCGGAGGCAGGAGCAGUGAAGCUCGUGGCUGUGUGCGUUUUUGUAGUAGGGUGAACCGGUGAUGUCGUGAAGAUAACUGUCUGGACUCUAGAGGCGAUGAGGCGUCAGGCGUGGAGCUGUGGUUGCCGCUGCGUGAGUGUGGUCUGUGUCUGAUUUCACUGAUUUGUGAAGUAAGGAGUAGGGUUUACACAAUUACACUCUCAUAUACCCGAAGGUCCCGAACGCGAUUUUAUAAUUUCUAUUAUUCUAUAUUUCUAUAAUUUCUAUUACAAUAAUAGUCUAAUACUAUGGGUUAUGGUAACUGGGCUGUGGGCAGUUGGGCUAGACGACUGGUAUAGUGAAUGUAUUGGGCAGAAUUUUAUAUUUGGCUGGAUAAAAAUAGUGGAAAGUCCAAUAACCAAUUGCUUAAUUAUUAUUAUUAUUAUUUUUUUUUUUUUACAGGUAAUCGGUUCGGUUUCGGGGCAAGGGUGUAAAUACCAUACCCGCCCCGCCCCAUAGCGGUUCAGCAAUAUCAAAUACCAUACCCGCCCCAUUGCACCAUCGGUUCGGUUUUUUUCGCCUUAUUCAGUUCGGUUAACCACGAUUUUCGAUUUUGACAGUUCGAAUUGCCAUCCCUAAUCGCCAACUUAAUGAUCUGUGAGUUGUUUGGAAAUGCAAUUGAUAAUAGCAUCUAUCCAAAUGUUUUGUUAAGGCUUGCUAAGUAUACACAAGGUCUUAAUAUUACAAAUGGGAUUUCAGCCCACUGUUAAUCAAGUAUGGAUUCCAAAAUUUAUGCAAGAGGGUCAUAAAUUUGCGUUAAACAGUGAGAGCAUAAUUAAUUUAAUUAAAACAUAUGUUAAAUUAAUUGAUGCAUUCUAUAUAUAUUAUUAUUUUCUUUUUGUUAUAUUUAUUGAAUCAUGAGUAGCCAUAUGCAUUUGAGAGGCAUACUUGACCCCAACAAUCAAAAUUGGCACUACAUCUGAGAAUUGUUCUCGAGCAUGAGAAAAUGGUAAUGUCCUUGAGUAUCCCUUUCCAAAGACACCUGCUGAUGACUCGAUUAAGGAAUAGGUGGCUGCUAUUAUAAAUAUAGUGAUGACAAUAGUAUUGUAACGAGUGUGAUGCUUGCAACUAUGUUAUCUGAGUUAUAGAAGCAACUAUAUCUAUGCAAAAUGAUAGAAGAGUCUUCGAUCAUUGCUCAUGUACUGAAGGUGAUUGGCAUUGAGAAGUUGUCUCCAUUGAGUUCAAUAAUGAACUAAGAAUUAAGUAUUGACUUACUUCUUCAAUCUCUGCCAUAUACUCAUUCAUACUAAUUAUGAAUUAUGAUAUGAAUAAGCUCAAAUGCACACUCAUUGAGUUGUUUAACAUGCUUAAGACUAUUUAGCCCAAUAUUAAAAUUAGUAGUGGGCAAGCCAUUGAUUUUCCAAGGGUAUUGAGGGGAAGUCUGAAGGGGCUUUGGAAAAGCAUCCAAUAUGGCUAAGAUGGUGAAAGCAAAGGACAUUACCAAAUCUAAUGACCCUUGUUUUCAUUAUAAAAUGAAAGGUCGUUGACAGAAAUAUUGUAAGGCUUGUGUCUACCUCAUUAGCUUCUUAGGUAUUUGAUACCAGAUAUGGGUCUUAUAUUUAUACAAAUAUGGAGGAAACUAAUAGAUGUAGACCACUGCAAAAGGAUGAAGUUAACCUACACGUCGAAAAUUAGUAAAGGUUGCUGCAUUACAUUUAGGCGUAUACUUAUUGCCAUUGUCUUUAGGCUUAAUAUUAGACUUAGAGAAAUGUUACUUUAUACUCAUCAUAACUGGAACAUUAAAAUGAAUUUCAUGUUUAAACAUGAACUAUUUUAAUGUUAUGGAUAAAUGUGGUUCAUGUUUAUCUUGAUAAAGAUCUUAAUGGUUAUGGUAAAUCACAAAAUGACAUUUAUAUUCUAAUAUUGAGUAUUUUAUAAUGAGUACAGAAAUUAAGAGGCAUAAAAGUGAUAAUUUGAAUAAUACCUCGAUCUGGCAUUGCAAACUUGGUCUUAUAGAUGAAAUGCAAUUACAUAGAGAUGUAUACUUGGGGUCAAUUGAUUUUGAAUCAUUUGACAAGUACAAAUCAUGCUUAUUUGGCAAAAUGACCAAAUCUCCUUAUACUUGAAAAGGAGAAAUGUUUGUAUAAUUACUGGCCUAAUACAAGUGAUGUAUAUGGAUCCAUGUCAAUUAAUUUCAGAUGAGGUUCUCUUAUUUCAUCAAUGAUCAUGUAUACUUGAUGAAAUUCAAGCACGAAGUUCUUGAAAGGUUCAAGGGAUUUGAGCUAGAAGUAGAGAAACAAAUGGGAGAAGGUAUUUUCACAUUAAGAUCCGAACGAGGUGAGAAUAUUUUAGAUUAUCUAUAAGAAAAUGGGAUUGUCUUGCAAUGGACUCCACAUAUACACCACAGCAUAAUGGUGUAUUUGAACGGAGGAAUUGCACACUAUCAGAUAUGGCGCGAUCAAUGAAUAGUCAAGCAUACCUCCCAAAAUCAUUUCGGGGUCAUGCACUGAUUCUUGCUUGUAUCUCAUAUAAAAGUUUGGGAUUGUAACGCUUAUUUGAAGUGCCCUGAAUCGAAUAAGUUUAAGAAUAAAUCCUAUAAAUAUAUAUUUAUGGGAUAUCCAAAGCAAAUAUUUGGAUAUCGAUUCUAUUAUCCAAUUAAGAGGAAAGUCUUCGUCUUAUGACAUAUCGUCUUUAUAAAGAAAAUGUUUACUCUAAUAGAGGACAACGGAUGUAAAAUAGAACUUGAAAGAGUUCAAGAGUCCAUAGAUAUAGUUGGCUAAGUAGAUGAAUCUGAGUUUGAUCCCAAAUCUGAUGAAGGAUGUCCUCUUGAUCAGGAAGUAAAGACUCCUGAAAACAUGUUAACUCUGUGUAAAUCUAGUAGGAUCAUUCGAGCUUAAGAAGGUGCGAUUCCAUGAUUACUAAUCAGGCAUUAAUAAUCGAGGAUGAUGAACCUAUUAAUUGUACAAGAACAAAGUCAAGUGUUGACUCAAAAAGAUGAUAGGAUGCCAUGGAACCUGAAAUGAACUCAAUGUAUGAAACAAAGUUUGGACCUUGAUUGACCCUCCUGAUGCGAUAAAACCCAUAUGUUGUAAAUGGUUUACAAGGAAAACGUUAACAUGGAAGGGAAAAUCUACACAUACAAAGUAAGACUAGUAGCAAAAGGUUACAAACAACGUCAAAGUGUUGACUUUGAUGAAACCGUUUUGCUUGUAGCCAUGCUGAAGUGUAUUCAAAUUCUGCCUGCAAUUGCUGCAUACCAUGAUUAUGAGAUAUGGCAAAAGGAUGUCAAAACUAUAUUCCUUAAUAGAAAUUUGAAAGAGGAAGUACACACGACAUGACCCGAAAGGUUUGAAUCCAAAGAAGCCAAUAAGGUAUGUAAGCUUGAUCAAUCCAUUUAUGGGUUAAAGUAAGUCUCUAGGAGCUAGAAUCUUCAUUUUGAUGAGACAAUAAAAAAUUUUGAUUUUAUCAAAAAUGAAAAUAAACCGUGUGUUUACAAAAAAGAUAGUGGGAGUAUUGUCACAUUCCUAAUAUUAUAUGUAUAAUAGAUAUUAUUAAUACAAAACGACAUCCCUACAUGUCAAUCAUUAAAAUUGUGGUUGUUAAAAAAAUUCAUGAAAGCUAUGGGAGAAGCAGCUUGAUCUAUGGAGAUAGAUCUAGAAAAUUGCUUAACUCAUCACAAUCUACAUAGAUAAAAUCUUGAUAAGAUUUUAUAUGGAGAAAUCGGUUUACUUUUAAGCAAUGUGUUGGAAAGGUUCCAAACAUGAAAUAAUCGUUGAUUCAAUAGUAAAAAUCUAAUACAUGAUUGCUUUAGAAGCAACAAAGAGUUGCAGUGUGGAUCAAGAUAUUCAUUAAUAAGCUUGAAAUAGUUCCUAACAUUGUUGAUCACAUUCCUUUAUAUUGUGAUAACAAUAAAGCCAUCGCACAAGCGAGGGAACUAAAGUCUCAUCAAUGAUCCAAACAUGUGUUAGGGCAGAUCAUCUCAUCAGAGAUAUAAUACAAAGAAAUGAUGUAAAGAAAGGAACGAAUUCCAACAAUCGAUAAUAUUGUAGAUCCACUGACAAAGAGUUAUCGUAGUAUAAACGUGAUCGUCCUGUAGACUCUUAUGAUAUUAGAUACAUUAAUGAUUAGAUCCACUGCAAUUGGGAGUUUGUAAGUGUUAUGCCCUAGAUUCAAUCAACUUUGGACAUAAACGCUUUUAAUAUAUAAUUGAUGCAAUUGUAUGACAAAUCUAUUAUUUAAUUAAUAUUAAAUUAAAUUAAAUAAAAGAGUCCGUAGAUUCAAAUCUUGGUAAUUUGUUAAUCACAAGGAGUUAUGAUUGUGAUAUAAAAAUUAUAUAUGAUUGAAUCUUAAAUCACCGAGGUUGUAAGUAAUUACGAGAUACAGAUAUCGUUAUUAUGGAUGACCAUCAUGUGUGGCAUUUCUUACCUGUAAAGUAGCUGAUCUCACAAGCUAGAGUGUGGUGACACUUAAAUAGACAUGCGGAUGUUUUGUUAUAGAAUAAAACAUUGGAGACUCGCUAAGAGAUUCCACUAUCUAAGAGUCAGUCGUUAAUCUCUAACAUUUGGUAGUGAAAUUAGUCCUUUGAAUUGAGUUCAUCAUAAUGCCUUAUAUGAGGACAAUCUACUUGGGUGAUGUUGAAUGUUACUCGUUAAGAGCCGCUAAUACGAUAUCAUUCGGGUAUGUGAAGAAUCAUAGAAGGUUGUCCAUGACGAAUAGAGGAUUUGUCACUCUUAGAUAGUAAGAGAUUAUGAUCUAUAUUUCUUUCAGUUAAGUUGAUAACAAAAUCCUUGGUCAAGGUAUACCCAUAAGUCGAAAAUGAGUUCUCGAUUUAUAUUAACUUAAUAGUGGAAUGAAAGAUAUGAUCGAUAAUUGAGAUUGACACUUAUUCAUAUCUCGUAAUUGAUCGAUCAUAUUGACGAAAGGAUUGUAGUUUACAGUAAAUGAAUAAGUUUGAUUUUGUCAUAUCACGUGACGUUUCUCGUCACAUGUAUUGCCCUAACAUAUUGCUAGAUAUUAAUCGGAGACAACGAAUAUGAAUUAGUGAUAAAUUAAAAUGGGUGUUUUAAUUUAUGAAUUUUGAUUAGAUCAAAGUAAUAAUUCAUGUCAUUAGGCAUCGUGAUUGGGAACCUAAUGGGUCACAUACAAAAGGAGAACUAGAAGAAUGAGAUUUAUCAAUUAAUUAAUUCAACAAGCGUUAGAUAAAUUAAUUAAUUGGGUUGAAUAUUAAUAGGUCCGAAAUAAUUAAUUGGAUUAAUUAAUUCAUGGACCAGAGUUAAUUAAUUAUAUUAAUUAAAUAUUGGAUCGCGUUAAGUUUAAGAGACUGGCCAAGUCCGUCUGGAUUUAUAUAAAUAAGCUUCUAUGACAAGAGGGUUUAUUUCUCUUGCUAACAUAAGAAAAAUAAACCCUAAUUCUCUCUCAAUCUUGUUCUCUGCGUGGAUUUCUAUUGGAGGUUGAACAAUUGGACAGUUGUGGGUGACAGAUCAAGAUUGGUGGAAUGAGACAGAGGCAAAUGAGUUUGUAGAAUUAAAGAAAGGUAUAAUUCUCUAUCACGAUUUCUAUCUAAACACGAAGGAGAUCCUUGGUGGGAAUUGAAAAUUGUUUUAUUUUCGGUUGCACAUGAUUAAGUAAAUUCCCAACAACCUUUUUCUUCAGUAGUCAUGUUCAGGUCAUACAUGGAUAGGAUUGAGUUUGAAAGGACCUAUCAUGUAUCUAUCCAAAAGCAGAAGAAUUCGAAUUCACUGAUAGGCAAAUUACAACAACAUUACAACAAAGAACACUUUGUAUUCUCACAAGGGUAAUAUCCUCAACCACAUGUUAGGAAUCGUUCUCUCUUCUAAUAAAUUAUAUGGUGAUAUUUUUGAGGAACUUGGAGAGUUUAGGGAGAUCCAUACAUGAACUUGUCCUACGACAAUCUUAGUGGAACAAUUCCAACAACAUUCUCAAAUCUACAUCAAGUCAAGAGUUUGAAUAUCCCUUAUAACAACUUAGGAGGGACUAUCCCCAUCGGAUUGAUCAAAUUUAAUUCUUUGGAAGACUUUAGGUGGCAUUAUUUAAAUUUAAUCAUUUAAUAUAUUAGAAUUAGUGAGUUUAAUAGGUAUUAAAAAAUUAUAACAUAUGAAAUAAAUUAUUAAUCAGUCAAAAAUGAUGUCUAGACCCAACCACACCUAGAGGUGUAUAAUGAGAAAUAACCAAAAAAAAGCAACAAGUCAUUAAUUAUUAUUUCUAGAUGAUUAAGUUUAAUGUCAAGUUAACCCUAUGUGUCAAUCAUGAUAAAAAUAAAGUAAGUAAUAUCAGAUUUGAUAAUGAAUGAAAAUCCUUUGAAGAACUCUUCACUAGAAAGAUAACUUACAAUUGGUCCAACACAACUAAAUUGUAGUAUAAUUUGACCACCAACCUAUAAAUCGCCGAAGAACCUCUUCAAUUGUGUAACCUUCACUUUUUAGAACUCUGGACUUCCUUUCCUAUGAGAGAUCACCAAGAACAAACUCAAUCCAAAACAACUUGAACUACAACUAUCUCAUCCCAACUUCCGAAAUCUGAAGGCUUAUAAAUAAAGGUAAAGAUGUUUGGUGUUUGAUCUUGUGGUCGAGUCAAGAUAAUUAUGGAAUAUAUAAUUGAACUCUGUAGAAUGUUCUCUUGUAUGAAAUAAUUGUUCAACACACUUUUUGGACUUGCAAAUGAUUUAGUAUUUAUAAUAUGAAAUGUUUGGGGUUGAAUGUGAUUGUAAAAUUAUGAAAAUCACGAAUAGGACUCUACCAAGAUGACACUGUCACUCAGUGUUAUGACGAAUAUGAUUGGGAGGUUCAAUGGUAAAAAGAAGGGGAUUCAUUAGCUCGUUAUUUUGUAUGUAUCAAUGAAAUGAAAGAAUCCAUAAAAAUUAUCCGAAAGGCUAUGGAAGGAAUUUUCCCGGGAGGGGAGGGAUCCUUUGAGAAUUUAGAAAUCUGACGCUUUGAUAGAGUCAAAGAUAGGACCCAUCUCCAUUGGAAUCUAGCUACUUUAGUGGCUAGGCAACUUACUCGGUAUUUUUGACUAUUUCAUUUGUUGAUGUUAGCAAUGUACAGUGGUUGCCCCAUCUCCAUUGGAACCUUUCCUCUCCCCUCCCUAGCCAUUCCAUUUCUGGCGAAGAAGAUGUGAAAACACGUUUAUCUCUAUAAGAACGGUGCGUGGUGGUUGAACAAGAGGUGGGCAAUCACAUGGUCGCCCGAGGCAAGCGUUGAAGUACUAAAAAAGAUGCUUGAGUGCCCAACACACAUCAAGCGAGCAGUUUUGUGAUGACUUUUUUUCCUUGAUCCAUCUUUGACUCUUUCAAGGCACAUAUUACCAAACCCCAAAUUUUGACUUUAUUUAUAACUCAAUUAACUAUAAUUUUUGACAUGGUAAUAGCCAUUAAUAUUGGACCUAAUAGGUAUGGAUUGGAAUCUUUAAAUGGUGACAUGACUAGUAGUGACUUUCAAAUACAAAGGAUGCAUAAUAAAUAGUCACGAUUUUUCAGAUUGUGUGUGGCUAUCUCUGAAAAUGUACAUAAUUAAAAGACACGACUUUUUGAUAGAGAGCGAUCUAGACUAUUAGAUCACGAUAUAUAUUGAAAAAGUAUUGUUUAAUUAUCCAUAUUAAUAUAUACCAAAAUGUGCAUCUUCAUAAAAUACACAAUAAAUCUAUAAAUUUCAUUCCAUUUUAGUUGCUCGAAAUCAAUUUCAAAUAAUUGAUCUCUAAUUCCUUAUUUCUCCAAACUCUGUUAAACUAAUUCUUAAUUAUUUUUAAAUUCUUGUUCAAUAUUUUGUAUCCUAUAUCAUCCGAUCUGGAAGAGUAUAGCCAAACAUUGGUUUGCCCUGAUAAAAUUAAUAUUAUGAUAUAGAAAUUUUGAAAAAAGAGCCGUGUUUUGUGUGAUAUACAUCCAUUUGAUCAUGUUAGCACCAGUAUAAAAGUUGCAUUCUAAGUAUAAAAGUUGUUCUCGUAUUACAUGCAUAUUUGAUAAUGAGUCAGGGAAAAUUCUUAGGUUCGUUUCCUGAUGGAUGCACUUGGAAGGUUAAUUUAAAUCACUGCUUAUAGAAGCAUUUUGCUUUGGCUCCAAAGCAAGUGACAGGAGCAAUGUUCACCUUGAGGGUUACAUUCAACCCAUAUAAAUAGUCAAAUGUAUGUAAAUCGGAAACUUCAAGUUUAUGCAUGGAUUCUUUUAAGUCAUUCAGUUUACAUGUAAUUGGUGUGUGUUGUUAAAAUAUUGGUUUCGAUUAUCUUGUUGGAGAUGAUGUGUGCAUUAUUUAAGUUAUAAGUAGGAUGCAAAUCUUAGUUAUUGCACAUGUAAAAUGUUCUAUAUAAUUACUUGAGAAUCAUGAAGUGUGUAUACAACCAAUUUUCAUAAAGCACUUGGAAAUUGGCAAUAUUUGCCAUUACCAUAACCAUUAUGUGCAUUUAUAUAUAAUGGUGACCUUUUAGCAAUCUGCCUUUGUGGAAAAAUUAAAUGCAUCAUGACGUGAAUGCUAUUGACUCCAUUAAAGUGUAGUGAGGUACGUGCCUAUUUCCUAUUAGCUUGUGUAACUCAUGUCACCUAACGAAUCAAUUAGCUGUUCUGAUGAGUGAGUUUGUUAUAUUUUGUAUGUAUACUUUUUAGUCUUUGAGUACAUAAAGUGUUUUAUGUUUUAUUCACUUAAUAUGCUAAAUGCCUUCGGUAAUUGCUGUAAUGCUUUUAUUUAAAAACUGAAAAGGUGUGUAGGAUAAUGCACAAUUAUCACAACAAUUAAGUAUUUUAUUUGGGAUUAGUUAUGUAAACUUUUCAUUGAUUGCUGUAUACCAAUUUCAUGUGGAAAGAGGAAAUUUCACCGACUUUGGAACGAAAAGGAGUGGCUAUUCACCUCCUACGGAUUUGUAUUUCUGUUUGUAAAUUCUUGUGUAAAAGUAAAGAAUAGAACCAUUGAAUUUGCGUAUUGUGAAGAUAUAAUUCUAAUUUCUUGAAAGAAAAAUGAAAGUCUAGGAAAAUCAUCAUUGAUAAGGAUGGCUCACGUACAAACGUGGAGAAAGCACGUACUAAAUCAAACAUUGGCAAAUAGGUUUUGAAAGAAAAAAGUUAAUUAUUAAUUUGAUAAUCUUGCACCAAGAAAAAAAUUAAAGUAUCUCAUUGGGUUUGAAGGAUAUAAAUGAGAAAAAAUUGAUGAUCUUGCACCAAGAAUCUUCUUCUCCCAAUCUAAAAACUAUAAAUCCUACUUUCUUCAUUUUCACUUCGAUUUUCUCUCCCUUUUAUCUCUAAUUUUAUAUAAUGAAACCUCUUUUUAUAACCAAACAUGGUCAAUUUAUGGGCUGGAAAAUUUUUGGUAGUUAUGCUUUGAAAAUGAAAGAAAAGCGAUCAUGGAAACCAAAAAAUAAAAAAAGUCAGCAACCAGGCCGGAUGGAUCCAACGUAGGACUAAAUGAGCAGUUUGGGCUGUACAAUGGUCAACCCCUGAAUUUUCAAUUAGGUCCUCAUAUUAUGCUUUUAUAUGAUUUUAUUUUUUUUCAAUCUAAUCUUCAAUUUUGAUAUUGAAAUUUGCAAAAUCUUCCAUAUUAGCCCCAAAACUUCAUAAUAAUUCGAAAUUGGUCCAUCUUAAGUUUGAAGCAUGGCAAGUCAUAUUUAUAAUCAUUAUAUAACUAAUGAAACUCAAAGUUCACAUUUAUUAGCUAGAUGGGAAUCCGCGUUAGUAGCAUUACACAUGAAUAAGUUCUUUCAAGAUGAUUUCCAGCAAAAAUAUGUAAUUUAAAUUUCAGACUUUCUAUUUGUUGAAUUUAACUGCUGAAUUUUAUGUGUCUCUUCUAAAUGCUCUAUUAAUUCUUCUAAUUGUUCAUCUGCAUUCCGGUUAUUUUCAAUUGCUCUGAACAUGCUCUAUUUAAGCUUCAGAAAAUCAUUUUAAUGUUAAUUGUAUUCAAGUUGAAAUUUUUUUCCUACAGUUAAUAUAAUUUAGAGAAAAUUAGUUACAUAGAUAUCAAUAUAAUUAUCAAUAAAUAAGCAAGUAUAGAAGUCCCGAUAAAUACAAAAAAGCCGUAUUUGCUAAUGGCAUUUGGUGAAGGGAGCUAUCUUACUUUUUAUUUUUAUUUAUUUAUUUAUUUAUUGACAUCGAGACUGCAUUGGGGACUGAUUAAUGAUUUAAUAGGGAAAAAAAACUAGUGGAUUACAUUCUUAAUAAUUCAAUAUUUUUACUACUAGGUUGAAAUUGACGUUGCUUCUGUCAAAGUCUCCGUCGAAUUAAUGGCUUUAACAUUUUGCUAAUCCCAAGUCAAAGUCUCCUCAUUAUAGUUUGCAUCAUUUUCCUCAGGAGGUCCCUUAGCUUGUGACAUUACAGAUAGGAAAUAUAUGGUAGAAUUCAUUUCGCCAUUAAUUAGUCCAGACCUGACUGUAGAAUAUCAUGAGUCUUAAUUUCUUACCAAAUAAAAAAAAUGAAAAGAAAAGAAAAAGAAGAAAAAAUCUACACGUCUUAUUUGUUGUAUGGAAUUUAUAGGAAAUUUCCUGGAGUUUGGACAAUAAUGUAGGGGCAAUAUUAUACACUGAAAAAGUCAUAAAACUAAAUAGUAGUGGUUCCAGUCAAUCCGCUGUAAAUCAACUUUCUCCUUUAAAAAGGGAAGCUCCCAAAGUGGAAAAUCCGCCAAGCAACAUAUAAAAGAUAUUUUUGCAGAUUAAGUGUGUUGAGAAUUAAGAAAGAUGGGAAUAAAGUUACGGGUAAUGCUAGUGAUGAUGGUGCUUUCAUUACUAAAUGAAUGGUAUUGUUUAGGGUGUUAGGAGGAAGAAAGGAUUGCUCUUUUGUACCUCAAAGUAAACAUGAACUUUCCAGAUGGAAGAUCGCUGCUUUCACGGGUGGUUAAUGAGAUUGAAACUGUCUGUUGUCAAUGAUACGGGGUUGAAUGCAGCAACACAACUAAACGAGUAAUCCUACUUUAUCUUGAUGCCUCUAGGAAUUGGAAAUUAGGACAUUGGUAUUUUAAUGCCUCUCUAUAUCUUCCCUUUCAAAGGCUUAGAAAUCUCUCUUUGCAGUGGAAUCAGUUAUUAGGCUGGAUUGAGAACGAAGGUAUGAUGUCAUCUCUCCUUACUUAGAUAGCUUCAAUUUUAUUAUUCCUAUUUUGUUUGAGUGAUAAAUAAUAUAUGUUGAACUUUGUUGUAGGUUUUGACAAAUUGUCGAAGUUGAGAAAUAGGCCCUUGAUCUGAGUUACAAUUCAUUUCAUCGCAAAAUUUUGUCAUCUCUUAGUCAGCUUUCUUCUCUCAAGCAUUUGAGAUUUCGAAUAUACCUUUUAGAGAGAGAAAAUUACGGUAAUAGUAAGUUCAAAAUACUUCAUAUUCUGGUGGUUAUUUCAUAGAUCAUGUAAUUAUCGAAGAAUCAGCCCUUUAGACAAUAAAUCAAGUUAUUAUAAUUAAACUUUUCUUGUUGCAGUAUAAGAUAAGCAAUUUCUCUAAACCUUUAAUUUUCUCUAUUAAAAGUACAGAUCAAAAAACCAAUUUAACCUUAUUAGUGUAUUACGAGAAAAAGCAAAGGGAGUAAAUAAUUUUAAAAUACAGUAACAAUACAACAUUUUUGAGAAAAAAAACAUACGAGUGCUAGAAUUUUUGGAGUGAAGACCAGAUAACGGAAUUUCAACUUUUACUAAUUCUUUGAAUGCAAAAACAUAGUCCAUGGAAAAAACAAUAUAAAAGCUAUAAACUCAACUGAAAUUUUAACAUUAAUUAAAGUUGUAUAUAGAAAUGAAAAUCUCAAUUUCAUUUUAGAUAAAUCUACUUACCACACCGUAACUUUUUGUUUUUAGUUAAAGGAAGGCAGUACUUUCAAAAUUUUAUUAAUUUGCCCUCACUUGUGGCAGAGGAAUAUCGUAGUUACAUGUGGAAAAAUGAAAGCAGUAAAUGAGGAAGACUACUUUCCUUAAAAUAAUUGAAAAUGCUAAAGAAAAUGUGGUAAGUGGUAAAAGAGGAAGUACUACUUUCCUUACAAUAAGAUUUGAUGCAAUUAAUGGCAAAAAACAAAAACAACUACAACUAAAAAUUAAAAAAGAAUUACAAUUCAUAUUCUAAAGUUGGGCAGUCCAUAUCUAUCAAUUUGUGCGAUUGCUUGAUUAUGACAUGGUAGGUCAGCAGAUCUAUACGUUUGAUAUCGCCGGUGCUCCCAACUUUCUGUGGCAAUAAUGUCUGCAACCUGGUUUCCCUCUUUGUAGAUAUAGGUAACUCUAUCUCUAUCGAAGGAGAUGAUGUCUGUAAUCCUUCUGAGUAUGCCUUGUAUAGCCCAUGGUCCUCCACCUUUGGUGAUGCAAUGAAUGGCUGCACUGGAAUCUGCCUCAACCCAAAUGUCUAAAAAUCCAAGACCUCUACCCAGUAAUAUCCCAUCAAGAAUAAACUUAAGCUCUGCUUCUGAUAUCUUACACUAUCUAUAUGAUGUUGAAAAUGUCUAUAUGCAUUUCUCUAUGCAGUCUCUAAUGAUGCCUUCCUCGCUCACAAAGUCAUCCUUGACACAUCCAUCAGUAUUGAUCUUUAUAGAUCCGACUAAUGGAGUGUGCCACUAAACUAUAAUGAGGGGAGGAGAUGAAGGGAGGGUCAAAGUAAUCCCAAAGAGUGGAGCAAGCUACAUGACAUUACGCCAGUGUAAUGGUCGAAAUAAUCCUCCAUUGUGAAGGAAUGAUACCAUACGAUAUAUCUUUCAAAUGAUUCGUCUUGAUCUCAUACAGAUACCCCUAUGCUUUGCGCCAUUUCUUUCUAUCCAUAGAAACCAGAAAAUUAGUAGAGGGAUAAUGAUGCAAAUGUGUCCACUCCAAGUAAGCUGUCCAGAGUAACGCCAUCAUAGAAAUCUUUGUCUGAUGCUCUCGCCUGCAAUCAUAGUAAUCUGAAAUAAGAGGACAAAGUGCUGCUAGACUUGAUCUAAUAUACUACUACCAGUAAAAAUAUGGGUAAUUGUCUCAAUCUCAGAACAACAUUGACAUUGAGAAGCCAGUUGACUGCCAACUCUCCUUUGAUUAAUAGUAUCCACUAGAAUCAAAUCCUGCCACAAUUUUCAACAGAAGAAUGAGAUUUUGGUAGGUAUGGUAGGGUUCUAAAGGAGACAAAAUGAAUCUUGUAACGGUUUGCUAGGACAAAUCAACUGCCAUGCAGACUUAGUGGUAAAUCUACCAUCUGAUGUAGCCCUCCAAAAAAUAUGAUCUGGGACGUCAAUACAUAAUGGCAUGUUCACAAUCUGUUCUGCUAUAAUUGGUGGAAGAGCCUAUAUUAAUCGUCCAAAGUUCCAUCCAGUCUCCUUGAAAAAUUCGUGCACCCUCUCAGGUGUGUGUUGCCUAUGUGGGAGGAUCGACACCAAAGAACUAUCUCCCAUCCAACAAUCAUGCCAAAAGAAAAUAUGACCAGCCCCAAGUUGCCACGCAAUGUGUGGUUCGACGCACUUCUAACAGGUACUCAACUAAGGUUUUCAAGUUUCUAUUUUAUGAAUAUUGGACAUUAAUACACUUUAAUACGCUUAAACCUGAAUAUUACCCUUGAGAAUUCUAUGUUUCAGGCAUCAAAAGUAUGCAUCAUCUCCAAGUAUUAAAAUUAGAUGACUUAUACGUCUCCAACAUUAGCAACAUGGUGCAAUCUUUAAAGGCAUUCUUUUACCUCAAGCACUUCUAUUUUCGGUACAAUUAUGCAAAUGAAAGUAUUGGAUCCUAUGGUAAGCCAAAAGAAUUAUAAUUCCAAGUCACAUAAAUUAUAAUACUAAAUGCAACAUGAACUCCAUAUUCUCAUGCACAUUCCAUUGCUUACAUUUAUAAGAGUUGAGACAUUUAAGACAGCUGGAGGGACUGUUCUUGGAUUAUUCUAAUGUGGACUGGAACUUUCUACAAUGUAUCUUCCCUCAAGAUUUUAUCUUUGUCCAGAUGCGGACUCAAUGGCACCCUUCCCGUUCAAGGUAAACUUCAAUAUCUUAUUUGUUAAACAAUGAUUUUCAUGACUUGGCAUACUGAUCAAAAAAUUAUUUCUUCAAUUAUUUCUAUUUUCACUAUUUUACAACUUUCAUUGCCUCUCAAUUGGACUUCUAGUUAAUAAAUGCGAAGUCAUCUCACGAUUCUCUUUUAAUGGAUGCAAAAUUACAAUAAGAUUUUUCAAAAAAGAAUAGAUAUUGAUUACCUCACUGUAUAGAAAAAAAAUGUAUGAAAACAUCUGUUUUGUAUCAACAGAACUAUUUAACUUCAUCAUUUAGGACUUUACAAUUAAUAUAAUUUGAAGAGGUUAAGCUAAUAGUUACCUAAAAGAAAUUAACUUUUACAAUCUAUAGUGUUUUUGUUUUUUUAUAUAAAUUGGUGACAGUGGAAAUAAGUAAGUUAAUAGUUACAUUCAAAAUAAGUAACUUAUUGUCGUCAUUCACCAAUAAAAAAAUUCACUUUUAAAAAUGAAUCUUUCUUACUUGAAAGUAAGUUUCGAGACCAAAAAAAAAAGGAAAAAAAAAAGAAAAAAAGAAAAGAAAGAGCUUUCUCUUUACAGGUAAAGCCUUUAUAUUCCCUAUUUCAUUGGUGGACUUUGAGUGGUAUCGUAUUCAUUUGAUUUGCAGGGUUGAGCGAACUUAAAAACCUCCAAGAGUUACAUCUUAAUUGGAAAGAGUACGAAGGAAUACUUCAUAUAUUGCAAACAUGAUAUCUCUUAAAUUCGUUGAACUCUCACACAAUACUUUCACCUGAAGUAUUGCCUCCCCUCCAUUUUGAAACUCACAUCACUUGAAUUUCUCUCCCUUUCAAGUAACAACUUUCAAGUUCCAAUUUCUUUCAGGGCAUUCUUUAAUCAUUCAAACUAACUUUUUGGAAAAUUAUGAAAUAAUAAAUGACAACGAGUUGGGAAGUUGGGUUCCCAAUUUUCAACUAGAGGUUUUUAGUAUGUCGAAUUCAAGAGGUCGUCCAUCAUUACCCAACUUCUUUUAUUAUCAAUCCAAUUUGAGAAUUCUUUACCUCCUAAAUAACAGCAUAGGACCGAAUUUUUCAACUUGGUUGUUGGAGAACAACACAAGACUUAUGUGACUAUCAAUGGACAUGUUCCAACUAAUAAAACUUUAGUUUUUCGAAGCUUGGUCUCAUUAAACAUAUCAACAAAUAUGUUUGAUAGUUGGGUACCUUCUAGUUUUGGUGACUUAAAAUAUAUAGAAUUUUUACACUUGUCGAGCAAUAAUUUGUCAGGCAGAAUACCGCAGGAAUUAGUUAUGGGAUGCUUUUCUCUGCAUUUUCUCAAAUUAUCGGAUGUUAAAUCUCAAGGACAAAUAUUUCUAGAAUAUAUCAACCAACUGUCUGGAUAGCAAUGAGUCCUCAGGCACCAUUCCAAAGAUUUUGUCUACCAUCCCUCUUGUAGUGUUAGACGUUAGUAACAACAGUUUGUCGGGCAGAAUUCCUAUCAGCGGGUAAUAUGACAACAUUGGUUGAAAUUUCUCGAUCUAACAACUAGCUUGAGGGUCCAAUUCUGGAGGGAAUUUGCAGUCUCAAUUAUCUUCGCCUCUUAGAUUUGUCCGAGAACAAAUUAUGUGGUUCAGUCCCAUCUUGCUUCAAUCCAUCAAUGCACAUCUAUUUGAACAAUAACCAAUUGGAAGGUGAGCUCACAUAUGCAUUUUACAAUAGCUCUUCUUUGGAGUUAUUGGACCUUAGACGGAAUAUGUUCAUGGGAAGUAUCCCUCACUGGAUUAGUAAUCUAUCAAGCCUGAACAUUAUUCUUCUCAGCAUUAACCAUUAUGAAGGCACAAUCCCUCACCAAUUUUGUGAGAUGAACCAACUAAGGAUGAUAGACCUUUCUUUUAAUUUUCUUUCGGGUCAAAUCCGGCACUGCUUUGAUAACUUAACUAGGGAGAAGUCUGGAAGGUCUAGAGAAUCAUUGAUGUCUUCAUACACAACACCCAGGUCUUACAUGUAUAAGGUUAUGUUAGAAAGGGUCUAUCGUGCGACUUUCCAUGAAACUGAAGUUUCCAAAUUAAUUGACGUGCCAAUUACAGUGACAUUCAUGACAAAGAGAAAUUAUUAUACUUACAAAGGUAGCAUCCUCAAUUACAUGUCAGGAAUUGAUCUCUCUUUUAAUAAAUUACUUGGUAAAAUUCCGGAUGGCCUUGGAAAUUUAAGUGAGAUCCACUCAUUCAACUUGUCGCACAACUAUCUUAUUGGAACAAUUCCAAAAACACUCUCAAACCUAUAUCAGAUCGAGAGCUUAGUCUCUCCUAUAACAACUUAGGUGGGAGGAUCCCCGCUGAUCUGAUCAAGUUAAACAAUUUGGCAUUCUUCAAUGUGGCGCAUAACAAUUUAACAGGUAUGAUACUAGAGAAAUUUUAGUUUCGGACUUUCGAUGAAGAUAGUUAUCAGGGAAAUCCUUAUCUUUGUAGCCAUCCAUUACCCGUUGAUUGUAUUAGCACUGGAUCAACACCUAUCUUGCCAUCUGCUAAUGAUGAAAGUGAGGAGCACGAUUUUAUGGACAUGGAGUUCUUCUACAUAAGCUUCAUCAUAUCUAAUUUAUCUGUAGUGAUUUGCAUUGCUACAGUUCUAUCCAUAAAUUCUCACUAGAGAAAAACAUGGUUUCAUUUCAUCAAGGUUUAUAUAAUACAUUUUUGAGGCCGUGUGUUCUGGACAAUAUUCCCAUUUUCUAAAUCAAGGUAUUUGCUUUAAUUCUGUGUGAAGAUCAUCAUAUACUAUACUAACUUUUAUAACUAAUAUAUAUUUACAAUCAGACUAAUCAAUUUUGUCAUUUUUCUUUCAAGAUUUGAUAAUUCGAAAGUAAUGAAGCAGUGAAGCAAAAUAUAACAGCAUGAUAGGAAGCCAAGAUGGCCGUGUGUAUGCAUAUUCAAUCAUAGAAGUAUGAAAUGAUUUUCAAUUCCGUACUUGUAUUAAUACAUGGGAAGGUGAUAUGUUUCCCAGCUAAAUGAUUUUGUUUGAGAAAAACAACAAAGAGCAACACAGCAGUUGAUUUCUAAAAGAUUUAUAUUAGAGCUUCUUCAUUUAGUCGUUUUCCUUAGUCCAUAUGUAGAAUUAGUGCAUUAAUUUUAGGUCACAUUUUGUUUUGUCAAAGAGAGAGUGUGCAAGCUAUUAUUCAGUUUUAUAUUUUUGUUAUGAAAAGUGAUAGUACCUUGAAAGGAUCAUUUUUGGACUCUUCAUCUAUGGAUGCAAACUUUCUUCAAAGCAUUGGAUGCAAACUUUGCCUGGGCAUGAACUCAACGGCUCCCUUUCCAAUGAGGUAAAUUUUUCACCUUUCAAUGAGGUAAACUUUGACAUAUAUAAGUUUCUCUCUAUGUAUGAGUUUUUUUCUUCAAUUAUUUCUAUUUUCAGACUUGAAUUUCAGUAUUUCUCUUCUAUUUCAAUUGAACUUUUUCGUUAUUUGUUUUACAAAGAAAUUUUUAAAAAAAGUGUGAUAAAUGCUAAGUGGUCGAGCUUUUCAUAAAUAUGUUUCUUAAUACUUGAAGAAUGUGUAUAUAUAUCUCUCUAAAAAUAGGUUGUUGUGUCUAGAUUUGUUAAGAAAAUCGUAAGAAAAUAGUUACUCAUGUUACCAGUAAAUCUAAAAUAAUAUGCAAGGACAAAUAAAAAUGAAUCCGAUUGUCAAUUUUUAUUGAACGGAAAGCUAACUUCAUUAAUAAAAAUUUUAUAAUCAACCCCAAUUUUCCUUAUCUUUGUUUGGUUUGUUAGUGAUUAAUUUAAGAGGGUGUUGUCAACUUAAUAUACUCAAGGAGAUGGAUUGGAUUAGAAAUGAGUAUUGCUUCCAUCAUGUCUAGAGAACAUGACAUCUCUUCCGAUUGAUCGAGCUCUCAAGGAAUAAGUUAUGUGGAGAUAUUGAUGUGUCUUUGCUUUCGAAACUCACCCCACUUAAAUAUUUCCAUUUAAAGUAACAUUCACGUGCCCAUUUCCUUUGUGGCUUUAUUUAAUCCGUCGAGUCUUUGUUUCAUAUUUGCCAAAGAAAAUGAAGUAAUAGCAAGUAUUGUGUUAUGAAAAUGGGUCCCUAACUUCCAACAAGAGGUUUUCAGUUGGUCAAAUUGCCAUCUAACUCUACCUCACUUUUUGAGAAUUCUUGAUCUCUCACACAACAACUUGGGGAGAAAUUAGCCAACUUGGUUGUUAAAGAACAACACUAGACUCGAAGGAGCCUAUUUUAGAGGUAAUGCUUUUAGAGGAACUCUCGAGUUGUUAGCAAGUACCAAUCUCAAUAUGGAGACUUUGAUAUUUCUAAUAAUAAAUUUAUUGGACAUAUUCCAACUAAUAUAAGUGUAAUAUUUUCAAUUUUAAUUCCAAUAAACAUGUCCAAAAUGUGCUUAAUGGUUGUGUAAAUGUUAUGUCAUAGGUCCAAUCGAUUUCAUACAUAAACACUUUUAAUAUGAUUGAUGUAUUCUAUUUAUGAUAAAUGUAUCAUUUAAUUGAAUUAUUAUUCCGAUAUAUUAAAUUAAUCCAUAGAUAUACAAUUUGAUAACGUGUUAGUCACAAUAAGCUGUGAUUAUGAGAAAUAAAUUACAUAUAAUUGAAUUUUAAAUUAUCCAUAGUAGAAGUAAUGACAAGAAACGAAUAUUGAUAUUAUGGAUAAACCAGCACAUAUGACAUUUCUCACUUAUGAAGUGAGUAGGUAAUAUUUAAAUGGAUGCGUGGAUAUUUAUUAAGAGAACAAAAUAUUGGAGACCCACAACACAGAUUUCGCAUGGAUAACUAUCCGAUGGUCAGUGGUUAAUCGUUAACAUCGAUGGUGGAAUUGGUUCUUGGACUUGAUGUCAUUACAGUGCAUAUGAAAACUGUCAUAUUUUGGUAGUGUUGGAUGACACAACUCAUCUUGAAUUAACCUAAUGGAUCCAAAAUGUGACUUGUACCUAUGAAAGAUGCUAAAUAGAUGCUAGAUCUACCACCAAGACUAACUAUGAGUUACUACUAAUUAUGAUCCAAAAAUAAGAUACUUAUGAAAAAGAAAUAAUACAAUGGCCCAAAAUAAUUACUUCGUACUUUAUUAAAAUGAGUAUAUCACUCAGUAUGUCGUCUGGCUUUAACUCCAAAAUCAUCAAGCUCCUUAAGUUAUUAAGAAACAAUUGCUGCCUAUAAGAAAAAUCAUGGGAAAUAUUUGAGAAUAGUUAUAAUUUCUCAUUAUUGGAUCUCAAAGAUCAAUUCUUUGAAUUCCAUAUAUAUCACAGAGGCCCCUUUGUAAGCUAUAUGUACACGAUCAAGACCAGUAUCUGGUCAAGAGAAGCUUUGUAGGAUAGAACAUGGCCAAUGCCCCUUGUGAACUAGAAGAAUUAUAUAAUCACGAGUACUCUUCUAGUUGAUCCCAAUGUCACAUGUAUCACAUUCCAAUACACAAUUAAUCCAUAUAUAAUCUUUGAAUUCCAUAUAUAUGACAGUGAAAAAACAUUUCCAUAUUAAUAAUGUAACUGAACAAACAAUUCACAUAAUCGCACAUAAUAUAAUAGUGCAAGUACUAUAUCAAUAUUUGAGAAUAUAUAAGUUUUUCCACUCUACAAGUUGUAGAUCGAUCAUGACUUUAAUCUUCUCAUCACCUCCUCAUGUUCAAAAACCAAAUAUGACAUCUUGCACUCGUCCUAAGAAUUAUAUCUCCUCACUAAGGUGCUUUAAACAUAUUUCCUACCAUUAGAAAUAGAAAUAAUAAUUUACUAAUAAGAACUUGAAGUCUAAUGUUUAGUGUAAUGUCAUAAUACCAGGGUCACUAAUAACAUAUACACCUUUAUAUAAGUUAUUUCAACACCUAAUCCCCAAUAUUUAAUACUUAAUUUGGUUUUCAUACUAAAAACCAAGAAAAUAAAAAAUAUUAUCAAAUUCAGCACUGUAUUUCAAGACUAUUGAAACAUGGCACAGGUUUCUGUAUAUUGGAAAGUGUUACCAAAACCAUUGACAGAAAUAGCACUUUCUGGAAAGAAUUUUAAAAGCAGCCUGUGUAGAAAUUGGUCCGGAAGAAAAUGAGGUAAAUUAAGCAAAAAUAUAAUCUCAAAUCCUUGUCCAACUCUAAUAUAUCAUAAUCAAGUGUUUGGUAUCAUCUACACACAAUAGAUUUGGAGAUUGAGACUCUAAUUUACAAACACAUUUCAUGUCUCUUGUAUACUUCAACAUAAAUCUUUCCAUAUUCAUAUUUCUUGCAGUAGUAUUCUUAAAUUACUCAAUUACGUCUUAAUAAUUUUAAUUCAUGCUGAACUUCAAAAAUAAACAAUUUUUCAUAAACUCUAAAUGAAAUAAUUUAACAAUCUUAUACUUACCUCCUUAAAUUAAAGGAGAAAUUGAACAGAAAAUUUAUAAUUUUGGAGAUAUCAAAAUCGAAUAUAAUUAGGUGUACCUUUCUUCGAUUUCUCGGUGUUUGCUUCGUUUUCCUUAAGUUCCCUAUUUUAAAAUACCAAAAUUCUGUAUUCAAUAUUAUCUUUCUAAUUUCUACUUUUGUUGCUUCCGUGUUUGAAAUAGUGUAUAACGUGGGAAUAUAAACUUUAAUAUGAAGCAAAGGCCAUAAUGAGACCGUAGUAAUUUCACAAUCGAACAGAUUUUGCAAAAUGGAGUUUGAAUUAGGUUCUCGGAAGAAAAAAAUAGGCGCUGGAUGCAUCAUCAUGAUUGCAUUAGGUUGGGGAUGGAUAAGAACAUGUGUCUGGUUGUACUAGAUUUAUGAAACUCUAGAACUUUUAUAUUGGAUGUUUCAUGGGUGUUAUCCAUCAAUUUAAACAAAAUAAAAAUAAAAUUCUAGUUUUUCCCAUAAUUUUAUCACUCUUACCGUUGAACGAAUUUCCCUUCUUUUUUUUUUUUUUUUUUUUUUUUUUUUUUUUUUUUUUUUUUUUUGGCUUUAUUUAAGGUUUACUCUCUAAUGCCAAUCAUAUCCUUCUCAACAUUAUACCCCAGCAUUGUUUCUUAAAAUUUUUAGCAAUUUCCCAUCUUGACAAUUGGAGAGAGCUGGAGCGAGCUAGUGAUCUCAUGCCUUCUUUGUUUUGAAAUUAUACGAAAACCUAUAAAUAUUGGCGGCCGCAUGAACUUUUGACGAUGUGAAAAUAAUGUUAGAAGCCUCAAGUAGUUAUGUAACAUCAUCUAUAUGGUGAAGGGGUGGGAAUGCAUUGAGAUGACAAAAUACGAUUUUAUGAUUAGCUUAUACAAGUGCAGAAGAUGCUUAAAACAAAUAAUCCAACUUUUAUUUCUUGGGAGGUGUAGUUGGUGUGGUAAUUCUACGAGUAGCUCCUUAGUUCUUGAUGAUUGCAUCUAGUUCAAAGUUCUAGAUUCAAAGGAGUUCUACAAUUUUUUAUGAAUAUUCCUAGUGAGGCAAAUAACUUCAUUGAUUCACUAACAAAUUCUAGAUAAGCGAGACAAACUCUUUCAGUAUGAAGCAUAGAUAGGAUUUGGUAUGCUCGUCACUUAUAGGAUGUGUGCAAAAAAGGAAGCUACAUGUUGGGAUGUGUUGAUUAAGAAAACUGUAUAUCUUAAUAUUGCACUUGGUAGAAUUUUGAAACUGAUAUGCCAUAGUUGAACAAAUGGUAAAACUCUAAAUGAUAUUAUUGCAGAAAAAGGGAAUAGGUCUUCUGAAAUUUUAACACUUGGUGGUGCUAGUAAUGUCUAAAAUUGUAAGCACAUUGGGAUUAAUUUACUCACGUGUUGUUUUCUCUUUCAUUGUAACCUAAUUGUACUUAGGUUUCAUCUAUUUGCUAUUGUUAUGUUUCAUUUGUGUGUUGAUUCAGGGGAGACACAACCAGUGAAAUGGGCAAUGCGGUUAAGGGUGGCCUUAUCUAUUUGCUAUUGUUAUGUUUCAUUAUGUUUCAUAAUUUUAAUAGUUGCUCGAUGUAUUUUUAACACGUAGUUAAUGAUUGAAUGUGCUCUUUCUACCUUGUUCUUCCAAGGAAAAAGAUAGACUUGAGGAUAAUCCAGAAGAGGAAUCUUCACAAGUUGAAACUGAACAUGAUUCUGAAGCCGAGCAAAUUGAGAAGUUGGGGAGUAGAUCAUUAGGGUAAUUAGCCUGGUGAUCUUUAUGUUAUAAUCAUGGUUACUUGAUUUGUCCAUUUGUCUCCAAUGCCGUUGCUUCUAUGCAAUUUGUAGUUAUAUAACUUAUCGUAGUUUCGAGCUUUAUAGAGGAUGCAAUAGUAAUGCUUCAAUCCCUACUCGUUUUUAGUUCGGUGGUAUUGUUUCACAUUCUAACAUUCAAGUGUAUUGAUUCAAAAAUUUGUAAUGAAAUUUUCAAUUUAUAUGCAAUUCCAAACAGAGUGUCAUUCUCAGUUUUGCCAGAAAAUUUACAUAAAUUGUUGUUAAUGGUCAAAAAACAAUGCAAAAGCCACUUUUCGAAAACGUUGCGAAAAUGGUCUUUGCAACAAGUUUUGCAACAUCUAAAAAAGUUGCGAAAAGUCACUUUUUGCUAUAUCUUAAAAACGUUGCAAAAAGUUCACUUUUCCCAACGUCUAAAAAACACUACAAAAAGUCACUUUUGCAAUGGUGAAUAAACGUUGCCAUAUCUCUUCCCUCAACAGCAACAUCGACCCCCGCAACACACGCUGAAACGCUACAAAUAACAUUUUGCUACUCACCGCAUCAUAUCAUCAGACGUGUUGAUGUGAUUGCCGUUUCUACUUGAAUUGGAAUUUUUCCUUUCAGACAUCCUAGUUCCACGAUUUUUCUUCUAUCUCAACUGUAUUUCACUCGUGCAUCACUCAAUAUUUAUCCUGUAUUGACCUCACCACUCCGCCUUUUUCUACACAGUGCUUUCGUCUAAGUGUUUCAAAGAACAAAGUAAACUCAACGGGAAUUUAGCCAUAUGGAUCCUAAAUCAGGUGUAAUCAAGACAAGUAACUUGGAGAGGACUUCAAAUAGUUGGAAUGAGAUUUUGAAUAGAACUAAUGGAAUUCAAGAUUUGAUUGAAAACGAAACUUUCAAUUGACUAGAAGGAAAUAAUUGUGACUCAAAGAAAUUGUAAAAAAAAUUGCUAUAGAAAAUGAACAAUAAAAAUAAUAAUUUCUUUUUUUUGCCUUUUUUGGACUCUUUGUAUAGAAAAUUUGACUACAACUCCAAAAAAACAAACAAAAGUUUAUUUGGAUGCAAUUUUGAAUAGAACUAAUGGAAUUCAAGAUUUGAUUGAAAACGAAACUUUCAAUUGACUAGAAGGAAAUAAUUGUGACUCAAAGAAAUUGUAAAAAAAAUUGCUAUAGAAAAUGAACAAUAAAAAUAAUAAAUUCUUUUUUUUGCCUUUUUUGGACUCUUUGUAUAGAAAAUUUGACUACAACUCCAAAAAAACAAACAAAAGUUUAUUUGGAUGCAUCAAAGACUCAAAAUUCAACAAGGACACAGAACACAUGAACGCGGCAAAUAGGAAACAAAAUAAAAAUUAAAAGACUCAACAAAGAAAAUUAAAAUAUAUAACCUCUACUAAUUUGAUGCCUAAGCUCUAAUACCAUUGAUGUGAACCACGUAGCAACAGAAACUACGAAACCCACAAAAGAUUGUCCAACCCAAGAAAGCCAAAAUUAAUCCCGGUUUGCGGACUUGAACCAAGAAUAAUGAAUCAAGCAACCUUGCAAUACAAAGAUGUGAAGGCCUUCCUGAUUACACGAUUUGUAAUUCACACCCGAUGUUGAACGCCACAAGAUUUUCACGGUGAUAAGAUCAAAUUGUUCCAAAAUGAACAAAGGAAUUGAAAGCAAGAAAUUUGCCUCUCUUUAUUUUCUCUCAAAUAAUGUCUAAGUAGUACAAUGAGUGAAUGGAAAACAUAUUUAUGCUAGACCCUAAAAACUAGUUCAAAUGGAAAUAAUGUUUAAAGAUUACAAAAAUAUCAACGGUAGUAAAAUUCUAGCUUAAUUAGGUAACUUACGAAAAACGAAAAAUUGCAUCUCGAUUUAUAACCAUGCGGUCGCAUUGUUCAUCAUUGUGCGGCCGCAUGGAACAACUUGAUCAUGCGCUUUUAGUCUCAGUGAGCCACCAUGCGACCACAUGGGACUUGACACUAUGCAGUCAAUAGUAGUUUUUUUUCAACUCCGUCUUCGGCCGCUUGUAACACAUUGAUCCAAUUGGUUUCGUCCUUUGAUGCCAACAUGAAACUUGCUUCUUUUCACGCCACGAUUGAUGUUCCGUCAAUUGCUGAUUGCACAAGUAGUCCAAUCACUAGAUUUACCCUCUUUGCCCCUCUAACACGUCAUCAGUCCACAUUCGAUAAUCAACGGGUCUCGUCAUGGGCUCGACUCUUGAAUCACAUCACUAAUCUUCAAUUUUGAUAUUGAAAUUUCCAAAAUCUUCCACAUUAUCCCCAAAACCUCAUAAUAAUUAGAAAAUUAUCUUAAAUUUAAAAAAAUAUGUAAUUUAGAUUUCAAACUUUCUAAUUGUCGAAUUUAACUCCAAAAUUUUAUGAAUUUCUUCUAAAUGCUCUAUUAAUUCUUAUAAUUGUUCAUAUGCAUUCUAGUUAAUUUUCAAUUGCUCCAAUUAAACUCUAUCUAAGAUUCAAAAAAUCAUUUUCAUGCUAAUUGUAUUCAAGUUGGAAUUUUUUUCUACAAUUAAUAUAAUUUACCGAAAAUUAUAUUUUCUAUCCAUAAAUCCAUACUGGAGAAAAGCAUGGUCUCAUUUCAUUGAUGUUUACAUAAUCUGUUUUUGAGGCCAUGUGUUCUGGACAAUAUUCCGAUAAUCCAAAUCUAGGUAUCAGCUUUAAUUUUGUAUGAAGAUCAUUAUAUACUAUGAUAGCUUUUAUAACUAAUAUAUAUUUACAAUAAAUCUAAUCAAUUUUGUCAUUUUUCUUUCUAGAUUUGAUAAUUUGGCAGUAACAAAGCAGUGAAGCCAAAAAUAAAAGUUGGGUAGGAAGCCAAGAUAGCCAUCUAUAUGCAUAUUCAAUCAUAAAAUUAUGAAAUGAUUUUAAAUUAUCGACACUUCUAUUAAUAAAUGGGAAUGUGAUGUGUUCCCCAGUUAAGUGUUUUUAUCUGAGAAAAACAUUAAGGAGCAACAUGGCAUUUGAUUCUGUAAAUAGCAGUUGAGUAUCAAAGAUUAGUUUAACAAAAAGAUUUAUAUUAGAGCUUCUUUAUUUAUUCCUUUUCCUCCAUAUAUAGAAUUUGUGCAUUACUUUUGAGGCACAUUUUGUCAGAGAGUGUGAAACCUAUUAUUCAGUUUGUUAUUUCCUGUUAUGAAAAGUAAUUGUAUCUAGGAGAGCUCGUUUCUGGACUCUUCUUCUCUGGAUGCAAACUUUUUUCCAAAGCGCUAGAGUAAUGACUUCUCUAAAGGUUUUAUCUUUGCCUGGGUGUGGACUCAAUUGCAACCUUCCCAGCGAGGUUAAUUUUUCACCUCCCAAUCUCUAAAGGUUUUAUUUAUAUAUCCACAAGGACCAGGACAUAUAUAAGUUUCAAUCUGUGUUUGUGUUUUUCUUCAAUUAUUUCUUUUUUCAGAUUUGAAUUUCACUAUUUCUCUUCUAUUUCGAUUGAAUUUUUUUCUUUAUUUAUUUAUUUAUUUUUUUUACCAAGAAAUAAAAAAAUGUGACAAAUGCUAAGUGACCAUGCUUUCCCCACACACACACACAUUUUUUUUUUUUAUCUAGAAGCAUGUGGAUAUAUAUCUCCCUCAAAUGAGGUAGUUGUGUUUAGAUUGUUAAGAAAAUUAUUGCUCACGUUACUAGUAAUUCUAAAAUAAUAUGAAAGGACAAAUAAAGAUGAAUCCAAGUAUCAAUUUGUAUUGGAAGCAAAGCUAACUUCAUUAAUAAGAAUUUUAUAAUCAACCUUAAUUUUCCUUAUCUUUGUUUGGAUGGUUAGUGUUUAAUUUAAGAGGGUGUUGUCAACUUAAUAAACUCAAGGAGCUUGAUUUGAGUGGAAAUGCGAACGUAGAAUUACUUCCAUCUUGUCUAGAAAACAUGUAAUCUCUCAAAUUGAUUGUCGCCUAAAGAAAUAGUUUUGUGGAGAUAUUGCUAUGUGUCUGCUUUCAAAACUCACCUCACUUGAGUAUCUUUCCAAUCACGUAACAACUUUCACUUGCCCAUUUCCUUUGGGGCUUUAUUUAUUCAUUCAGUUCUUCGUUUCAUAUUUACAAAAGAAAAUGAAGUAAUAGCCAGUACUAAGUUAUGAAAUUGAUUCGCUAACUUCCAACAAGAGGUUUUCAGUUUGUCAAAUUGCCAUCUAACUCCACCUUACUUUCUUCACUAUCAAACUGUCUUGAGAAUUCUUGUUCUCUCACAUAACUUGGAGAAAA